GUCAAGAAAAAUCUCUCAUGGCUUAACAAAUAACAAUUGUCUCGCUCUGAAUCAGAGAGAAGUGAAAAAAUAUACAUUACAAUACAUCACACAAUGUUUAAAAGUUUGCAAGUUAACACAGGAUGUUUUUUCUUUAUUUAAGACAUCAACGUAGUAGUUCAGAAUCAGAUUAGAAAGUUGAACAUCCCUACAACAACUAAUACAAGAAUAGACAAUGAAAUGGGGGCAUGAAAUCCUUCUACUUUUACAGCUUCCAUUCCUCAUGAUGAAUUCGCCCUANNNNNNNNNNNNNNNNNNNNNNNNNNNNNNNNNNNNNNNNNNNNNNNNNNNNNNNNNNNNNNNNNNNNNNNNNNNNNNNNNNNNNNNNNNNNNNNNNNNNAUACGUCUCCAUCGUAUGUACUUUUCCAAACUCUUUUUCCCUUGUUUUGGACUCUAAUUUGCAUGGUUUGAAUGGAACUAACCCGGACUAACGUUGUUUUCAGCAGAAUUGCAAUGGUGUUGUUUUUGCGCAGAAAUAAAAGUUCUCGGAAUGACCUGAGAAUUUACCAAGAAUUUUUGUGGAAUAUAUAAAAAAUACUGGCGCAAGAAUCAACGGAGGAAGUGGAGCUGGAGCCCACAAGCCCACCAGGCGCGGGCCCACCCUCGCCCGCCUGGCAGGCUUGUGGGGCCCAUAGAACUCCACCGCCUCCAAUCUCAGGUAUAUUUAGUCCCUUUCGUCCGGAAAAAAAUCAAGGAGAAGAGUUCAUCGCGUUUUCCGAUACGGAGGCGCCGCCACCUCCUAUUCUUCCUCUCGAGAGCAGAUCUGGAGUCCAUUCUGGGCUCCGGAGAGGGGAGAUCGUCGCCAUCGUCAUCACCAACCUUCCUUCAUCGCCAAUUCCAUGAUGCUCUUCACCGUUCGUGAGUAAUCAUAUCGUAGGCUUGCUGGACGGUGAUGGGGUGGUUGAGAUCUAUCAUAUAAUCGAGUUAGUUUUGACGGGGNNNNNNNNNNNNNNNNNNNNNNNNNNNNNNNNNNNNNNNNNNNNNNNNNNNNNNNNNNNNNNNNNNNNNNNNNNNNNNNNNNNNNNNNNNNNNNNNNNNNNNNNNNNNNNNNNNNNNNNNNNNNNNNNNNNNNNNNNNNNNNNNNNNNNNNNNNNNNNNNNNNNNNNNNNNNNNNNNNNNNNNNNNNNNNNNNNNNNNNNNNNNNNNNNNNNNNNNNNNNNNNNNNNNNNNNNNNNNNNNNNNNNNNNNNNNNNNNNNNNNNNNNNNNNNNNNNNNNNNNNNNNNNNNNNNNNNNNNNNUACUAUGUGUUAUGACCUGGCAACCCCGGAGUGACAAUAGCCGGAACCACUCCGGGAGAUGACCAUAGUAUGAGGAGUUCAUAUAUUCACCAAGUGUUGAUGUGUUGGUCCGGUUCUUUAUUAAAUGGAGAACCUUAAUAUCCUGCAGUUUCCAUUAGGACCCCUGAAAGUGCGUUAUAUCGACUAGAAGGGGGUGAAUAGGAGUUUUUAGAAUUUCAUCACUGAGGAAAUUCCUUUUGAGGAAAUUCCUCACUGAUGACUAACUUACAGCGGAAACGAUUACGGAUCAGACAUGCAACCUUUCACAAUAGCAGUAUUACAGAGUGAAGAAUGUGAGAACAGAUUGCACAGUAAGCAGGCAUGCAGAAUACCGAUGAUGAUUAACUCAAGUGAAGAAUUUGGGGUUGAGUAAAUUCAGAGAAAGUCUUCAGCAAAUUCUUCAAACAGUCACUGUGAAAGUCAUCAACACAUAAUACAGAGAAUGUAAAGAGUUGUGGAAUUAGAACCCGAUUCUUGGUGAAGACUGUUGUUGAUGACCCAGUUCCNNNNNNNNNNNNNNNNNNNNNNNNNNNNNNNNNNNNNNNNNNNNNNNNNNNNNNNNNNNNNNNNNNNNNNNNNNNNNNNNNNNNNNNNNNNNNNNNNNNNAAAUGCCUUGCCCCACACAGGUAUACGAAGUUUCCUAGCUCAUGUUGGUUUCUAUAGAAGGUUCAUUAAAGACUUCUCUAAGAUUUCUAGGCCUCUUACCAACCUCUUGCAGAAGGAUGUUCCUUUUGUUUUUUAUGAGGAUUGUGAGGAAGCUUUCGAAAUACUUAAGAAGGCUUUGAUAACCGCACCUAUUGUUCAACCAGCUGACUGGAACUUGCCCUUUGAAAUCAUGUGUGAUGCUUGUGAUUAUGCUGUUGGUGCUGUUCUAGGACAAAGAGUUGACAAGAAGUUGAAUGUUAUUCACUACGCUAGUAACCCUCUAGACAGUGCCCAACGAAACUAUGCCACUAUGGAAAAGGAGUUUUUAGCAGUGGUGUUUGCAUGUGAAAAGUUUAGAUCUUACAUAGUUGACUCCAAAGUCACUAUUCACUCUGAUCAUGCUGCUAUUAAGUACCUUAUGGAGAAGAAGGACGCUAAGCCUAGGUUGAUCAGAUGGGUCCUCCUGCUACAGGAAUUUGAUUUGCACGUUGUUGACCGAAAGGGUGCUGAUAAUCCUGUAGCAGAUAACUUGUCCAGACUCGAGAAUGUCCUUGAUGACCCACUACCUAUUGAUGAAAACUUUCCUGAUGAGCAAUUAAAUGUCAUUCGCGCUUCACAUAGUGCACCGUGGUAUGCCGAUUAUGCAAAUUAUAUCGUAGCCAAAUACAUACCACCCAGUUUCACCUAUCAGCAAAAGAAGAAAUUCUUCUUUGAUUUGAGACACUACUUUUGGGAUGAUCCUCACCUUUAUAAGGAAGGAGUAGAUGGUGUUAUUAGACGUUGUGUGCCUGAACAUGAACANNNNNNNNNNNNNNNNNNNNNNNNNNNNNNNNNNNNNNNNNNNNNNNNNNNNNNNNNNNNNNNNNNNNNNNNNNNNNNNNNNNNNNNNNNNNNNNNNNNNAAAUAAGCAUGGCAUCAGAAACUAUGAUCUCUAAGUUAUCAUUGCAAACAUGGUUCUCACACAACAAAGCUGAAUCUGGGAUGACAAGCUAGUCAUAUUUACAAAAACAGAACAGAUAGAGUUCAUACCAUCUUUUCCAGUCUCAGUCACUUCAUCAUAUAUCAUCAUUAUUGCCUUUCACUUGCACGAUCGAAUGAUGUGAACAAUAGUAAGAGUGCUCGUGCAAUGCACUAAAGCUGGAAUCUGCGGGCAAACACAAAGGAAAAGACAAAGUAAUAUGGCUCUUUGAAAGCUAAACAUGUAUGCAUACAAGAGCCACUAAACAUUGUAACCAAUAUCUUCUACCUUGACCCCAAGAAAAACAAAACUAUUUACACGGGAAAGCUCCCAACAAGCAAAAGAAGAAAGGAAAAUCUUUUUGGGUUUUCUCAAAAGGACACAAAACAAGAAAAAAAGAAAACGAGGACAAACUAGCAUGGAUAAUACAGUGGCAAAGUGUAAACACCGGCUAACAAAGUGAAAGCAUAAGCAUGAAUGUAAGGUCGGUGAGAACACGUACUCCCCCAAGCUUAGGCUUUUGGCCUAGCUUGGUCUACUCCAAAGGAGGGAAAUAACCAGCUCCAGGAUACUCUGGAGCGGACUGUAGAUGCCACUGUUGUGUGAGCUCCUCUAGCUCCCACUGAUAAACUAGUGUCUGGUACUCGACUGGCGGCUCGGGCACGGGCACCUGUGGUUGGGCUAAGCCCCAAUAUGCGUAGAUGUCCGAGGGCAUAAUAGUGUACCUGCCUGCAUGGAGAUCGAACAAAGAAGGAGCAGGCAAAGUAAUAGUCUCUCGAGUAGCCUGACUAAAUACCAGGUUAUAAAUCAUCUGUCUACUAGCAUCUCUAUCCAGAAAAUCAUGGCGAACCAUGUUGUCAUAAUCCAGAUAUUUCUCAGGAAGAAGCAUCUCCUCUUCCUCGCGAAGUCUAAUAGGUAUCUCAAAGUGUCUAGCAAGACGAGUAGCAUAGAUACCUCCAUAGACGACACCUUUGGAACGGUUUGUGUUCAACCGCUGAGCUACUAUAGCACCUAGGCUAUAAGUCUUAGUUCUAUAAAGGCCUUCGCGCAAAACCGCAAGGUCUAGAGAGCUAAUUGAUCCAGCCUCCCCACGGCCAAUCAAACAUUUUCCCACAAAUAAUGAGAAGUACCGAAGCACAGGAAAAUGUAUGCUAGCAAUUCUAGCACGAGACACUCCUCUCUCCUCUCCAACAGCAAUAGUGCCUAUGAAAUCCUCCAAGUCCCGUGGACGAGGAUCAUGAUUAUCCCCAACAUAAGGUCAUUUGCAUGCAUUGCAAAAAUCUUGUAGUGUCAUGCACUGGGGGAUAUCGUACAACAUGAACUCAACCAUGGGAGGAUUCUUCCUCGGAUAAAAGUUGAAGCUUUGAACGAAAAUAUUGGUGAGGAGGAGGUAUUGUGAGCACUUAUCUUCAACGAACGCGGUAAGACUUGCGUUCUCCACCAAGUAAUAAAAGUCUUCAUAAAGCCCGGCGGCGCGCAAAAAUUCAUCACUUGGCCACUCGCACGCUCGAACUUCUGUGACUCGAGGAACCACUUACUUGGGGUGGUUCUUCUCAUCCUCCUUGGGGUUACGGCUUGAAGAGCCUCUCAAGAACCUCCUCAUCUUUUUCCUUUUCUAGCUCUGAAAAAUUCUGAAAUUUUUAGAGACUUCGAAAGAAAAGUGAAUAAGGAUUAACCCAACUCGUAGCAACUACUCCUACUAGUUCCUAGAGACCGUAUCACGCGUUAAAACUACUUGGGACCAGCUAAAAUCAACAUUUCAAGCUCAAGAACAGGGUCACCAAGGUAGUAAGCAUACGCGAAGGAUAAAGCACUAGAGCAAAAACUAAUUGGACCAAUGGAGGAGUCACUUACCAAGGAGUAAUUUCCCCAAAAUGGUUCGGAGAAUGAUGCUUUGAGCAAGGAGAUCGAAAAUCACAGCCAAAUGAGCAAGAACACGGGUUUGAGCUGCGAAACGAUUUUUUCUGGAGAUAGAGGAAUAGGAUGGGAGCUGGAAUGAGUGGAGGAGGCCCCUCUGGGCCCCACAAGCUUGCUUGCUGCGACCAGGGGGGUAGGCCGCGGUGACACUGCUUGUGGCCCACUGGUGUGGACCCCAGGCCAGCUCUCAGUCCCAGUAUUUUUCAAAUAUUCCAGAAAAAAUGAUACUAGAUUUUCAGGACCAUCGGAGAACUUUUAUUUUCGGGGUAUUUUUUCUCCGAGACGCUAAAACAGGAAACAGGAAAAACUAAAAUAAACCUAUCAUUUUUCUUCUAAGCAACAGAAAGCGAAAGCUUAAAACAGUGGUAUGUGACUCUUUGAUUCAUCCAUUUCAUGGUCAUCAAGAGAAAUCCGUCAAUGGGGUUGAUCAAAUCCUCAUGACAAAACUUUCUUGAAUACCAAGAGAGAACUGAGAAUUUUCGAAUAUCCACUAAGUCACCUCAAUAGGGAUAUGUAUCUCCCCAACAAGCAAAUCAUACUUCAUCUUGACACGAGGAAUAGGGCAUUCAAAGCUCCCAAUAAGAAUCGAUGAAGCUUUUUCGAUAGCAUUGAUGCAAUGUACUUGAUAUCGUUUAUUCGGAAAGUGCACUGUGUGCUCAUUACCGUUGACAUGGAAAGUGACAUUGCCUUUGUUGCAAUCUAUAACAGCCCCUGCAGUGUUUAAAAAGGGUCUUCCGAGGNNNNNNNNNNUCAUGGCAUCGUCCUCGGGAAUAUCCCAGAUAACAAAGUCUGUUAAGAUAGUGGUAUUAGCAACCACAACAGGCACAUCCUCGCAAAUGCCGACAGGGAAAGCAGUUGAUUUGUCGGCCAUUUGCAGAGAGAUUUCAGUGGGUGUCAACUUAUCCAGUUCAAGUCUACGAUAAAGAGAGAGAGGCAUAACACUAACUCCGGCUCCAAGGUCACAUAAGGCAGUUCUUACGUAGUUUCCUUUAAUGGAGCAAGGUAUAGUGGGCACUCCGGUAUGACCAAGUUUCUUAGGAGUUCCACCUUUGAAAGUGUAAUUGGCAAGCAUGGUGGAGAUCUCAAGAUCUGGUAUCUUCUGUUUAUUGGUCACGAUAUCUUUCAUGUACUUGGCAUAUGGAGACAUUUUGAGCAUAUCAACUAACCGCAUCUGCAGAAAGACGGGUCUUAUCAUUUCAAUAAAGCGCUCAAAAAUCCUCAUCAUCCUUUUUCUCGAAUGGCUUAGGAGGAAAGGGCAUAGGUCUCUGAACCCAUGGCUCCCUUUCUUUACCAUGCUUCCAAGCAGUGAAGUCAUUCUUAUCGUAUCUCUUAGGUUGUGGGUUAUGAGGAUUAACCGUAGGUUCAAUCUCCACAUCCUUAUCAUUGCUAGGUUGAGCAUUUUUAUGAACAUCGCUGUCCAUAUUGUCACCACGUUCAUGUUCAUCACCAGAUUGUGUUUCUGCAUCAGACGCAGAAAUAUCAUUUGGUUCUUCAGGUGUGACAAUAUUUGGUAAACUAACACACAGGUUUCUAUCAUCCUUCUUCUUCUCCUUAGGAUAACUAGGUGUAUUAGCAUUAAUUCCUUGAGAAUCUUGAUCAAUUCUCUUAGGAUGACCCUCAGGAUACAAAGGUUCCUGAGUCAUUUUGCCUCCUCUAGUAAUGACUCUGACAGAGUUUUCAUUUAAUUUAUUGAGCAAGUCAUUCUGAGCUUUAAGUACUUGUUCUACCUGAGUAGUAAUCAUAGAGGCAUGUUUACUCAGAAGCUUCAGAUCAUUGACAUUUCUGUCCACACAAGCACUUAAAUGACUAAGCAUACGAGUACUUUGUUCCAAAUGUCUGCUAACAUAAUCAUUGAAACUCUGUUGUUUGGCAACAAAGUUGUCAAAUUCAUCAAAGCAUAGGCUAGGAGGUUUAUCAAAAGGAAUAUCACUCUCAUCAAACCUACGCAGAGAAUUUACUUCUACUACCUGUAUCGGGUUAUCGAGACCAUGGAUCUCUUCGAUGGGUGGUAGAUUUUUGACAUCUUCACAUCUAAUGCCUUUCUCUUGCAUAGAUUUCUUGAUUCUUGCAUAUCUUCGGGACUGAGGAAUAGAAUACCUCUUUUCUUCGGAGUAGGCUUAGGAGGUGGUUCUGGUAUAGUCCAAGCAUUAUUGUUGAUCAAGAUGUUAUUCGGUAGAGUCUCAGCUUGUUCUACUGUUCGUUCCCUAAAAACACAACCGUCACAACUAUCUUGGUGGUCUCUAGAAGCAUCGGUAAGUCCGUUAUAGAAUAUAUCAAGUAUCUCAUUCUUCUUAAGAGGGUGAUGAGGCAAAGCAUUCUGUAGCUGGAUGAGCCUCCCCCAAGCUUGUGGGAGACUCUCUUCUUUGAGUUGAGCAAAGUUGUAUAUUUCCUGCAAGGCAACUUGCUUCUUAUGGGCAGGGAAAUAUUUCUCACAGAAGUAAUAGACCAUAUCCUGGGGACUACUCACACAUCCAGGAGCAAGAGAAGUGAACCAGGCUUUAGCGUCAUCCUUUAGAGAGAAAGGAAACAACUUAAGGAUAUAGUAGUGGCGGAUCUUCUCCUCACUAGUGAAAAGGGUGGCUAUAUCGUCUAGUUUGGUAAGAUGGGCUACGACCGUCUCAGACUCAUAACCGUGGAAAGGAUCAAAUUCAACUAGAGAGAUUAUCUGAGGAUCAACAGAGAAUUCAUAAUCCUUAUCGGUGAUAAAGAUAGGUGAAGUGGCAAACUUUGGGUCGUAUUUCAUCCUAGCUUUCAGAGAUUUUCCCUUCCACUUGAGAAGUAAUUUCUCAGCGUCAUAGGCAUCCUUACACGCAAGAAAAUCCUCAGCUAUCUCCCCCUCCAUAACAUAACCCUCGGGUAUAUCAGGCAAUUCAUAUCUAGGAGAGCUAGAUCUAGCAGGAGCAAAAGCAGGUUCUAUCUCAAUAGUAUCGGCAGUUUCAGAAGCAUCACAAGCAUUGGCAGUAACUCUAGCAAUAUGAGCAUCAAGGAAUACCCCUAGUGGCACAUCAGGCAAAGUAGUGUCUCUAGCAGUAUCAAGCAUAGCAUCAUCAGGCAAAAUAACAUCUCUAGCAUCAUCAGGCAAAGCAGUAUCAGGCAUAGCAUCUCUAGCAGUAUCAGGCAUAGCAUCUCUAGCAGUAUCAGGCAUAGUAGCAUCAUAAGCAUCAUCAAGCACAGGCGACAUAUCAAGAUUUCUAGUAGGAGGUGAUGUCGCAAACUUACUCAUAAUUGAAGGUGAAUCAAGUGCAGAGCUAGANNNNNNNNNNCCCCUCGUAAUUGAGGGCAAGACUUUGGUUUUUGGAUCUUUCAGAUUCUUCAUAGUGAUCAGCAGAUAUAAAUCCCAAGUGACUCAGAGAAUAUAACAAUCUACUCCCCGGCAACAGCACCAGAAAAGAGCUGCUUGCUAGCAGUCCCCGGCAACUACACCAGAAGAAUGUUGUUGACGUGUUCCUGACUUGAUGCCUCCGCGGCAACAGAGCCAGAACUGCUCCCAGUUGCUCAACAAUUAGCAAUUGUCUUGCAAUGGCCCACCAGCGUGUGGGUUCGCGGCAGUUUUCGAGGGUAGAGUAUUCAACCCAAAUUUGUUGGUUCGCCCGUUAGGAAGUGAAAGGAUACUCUCAAGUAUUAGCAGUUGAAUGUGUCGGAUUCAACCACACCUGAAAGAUUAGUAUCUGCAAGCAGAGUAUCAGCAGCAAAGUAGUAUGAUAACAACGGUGCCAGAAACGGUCUGUUGACGGCAGACUAUUCCUAACUGUUGUAUCAAUGACGCCAGAAGUUGACCGUGGACGGAAAAUAUCCUUUCCGGUCAAUGGCACGAGAAAAAGUAUUGUAGCGGGUAGCAGCAGCGUUACGAGUAACAGCAGUGGCAAGGAACAGCAGUAGUGACAGCAGUAGUGAGAGCAGUAGCAAGUAGCAAUAGUAGCAAGUAACAGCAGUAGCAACAGUAGUAACAGCAGUAGCAAGUAGCAACAGUAGUAACAGCAGCAGUGGGACAAACUCAUAGGAAAUGGGUCGGUGAUUCGUUUGGAUGACAUUCAUCAUGCAACAGUUAUAACUCGGAGAGAUAUGUGACUAGCUCCCGUUCCUCAAUGUGAUGUAGGCAUGCAUUCCGUGUGUAGUCAUACGUGCUUAGGGAAAAUAACUUGCAUGACAUCUAUUGUCCAUCCCUCCCGUGGCAGUGGGGUCCAAAAGGAUACUACGGGAUAUUAAGGUUCUCCUUUUAAUAAAGAACCGGAACAACGCAUUAGCACUUGGUGAACACAUGAACUCCUCAAACUAUGGUCAUCAUCGGGAGUGGUUCCGGUUAUUGUCACUCCGGGGUUGUCGGGUCAUAACACAUAGUAGGUAACUACAACUUGCAAGAUCGGAUCUAAAACACACAUAUAUUGGUGACAACAUAAUAAUUUCAGAUCUGAAAUCAUGGCACUCGGGCCCUAGUGACAAGCAUUAAGCAUGGCAAAGUAGCAGCAACAUCAAUCUCAGAACAUAGUGGAUACUAGGGAUCAAUCCCCGUCAAAACUAACUCGAUUACAUGAUAGAUCUCAUCCAACUCAUCACCGCCCAGCGAGCCUACGAAUAGAUUACUCACGAACGAUGAAGAGCUUCAUGGAAUUUGAGAGGGAAGAAGGUUGAUGACGACGAUGGCGACGAUUUCCCCUCUCCGGAGCCCAAAACGGACUCCAGCUCUGCCCUCCAGAUGAAGAACAGGAUGUGGCGGCGCCUCCGUAUCGCAAACGCGAUGAAAUCUUCUCUCUUUAUUUUUUUUUGGACGAAAGUGAAUUUAUAGAGCUGGAGUUGGGGGCGGCAGGCCCACAUGGGCCCCACAAGCUUGGUUGCCGCGGCCAGGGGGGAGGCCACGGCAACACGGCUUGUGGCCCACUGGCCCAUCCCCUCCGGUGGAUCUUUGAGCAGGUAUUUUUCAUGUUUUCCAGAAAUAUUCUCCGUAAAUUUUCAGGACGUUCCGAGAACUUUCAUUUCUGCACAAAAACAACACCAUGGCAAUUCUCCUGAAAACAGCGUCAGUCCGGGUUAGUUGCAUUCAAAUCAUGCAAAUUAGAGUCCAAAACAAGGGCAAAAGAGUUUGGAAAAGUAGAUACGAUGGAGACAUAUCAACUAUCAUGACCACCACUCGUCCAUUUGAAUUGCUUCACAUGGAUCUAUUUGGACCUACUCAUUAUGCCACUCUAACAAAUGAUGCAUCUUUAUAUGGCUUUGUCAUAGUUGAGGAUUAUUCCAGAUACACUUGGGUGCAUAUCAUUCUGUAUAAAACUGAAGUGUAGGAAGUCCUCAAACGAUUUUCCUCAAGGGCCUCGACGAACUUCGGUGUCAAGAUCAAACACAUCAGGAGUGAUAAUGGAACAGAAUUCGAUAACACUGGUCUUGAUAAUUAUCUUGAUGAACUUGGUAUUACUCAUGAAUUGUCUGCUCCUUAUACUCCUCAACAGAAUGGCAUCAUCGAAAGAAAGAAUAGGACUCUGGUUGAGAUGGCACGAACCAUGCUUGAAGAAUAUCAGACUAACAAGAAACCUCGUAUGAACUCCUCACUGACAAGAAACCCAAUGUCAGUUAUUUCAAAGUCUUCGGUGCAAAAUGCUAGAUUAGAGAUCCUCACCAUAGCUCAAAGUCUGCACCUAAGGCACAUGAGGGUUUUAUGCUUGGUUACGGAAAGGACUCACACACCUAUAGAGUUUUCAAGACCUAUCACAACAAAGUUGUUGAAACUGUAGAUGUGCGGUUCGAUGAAACNNNNNNNNNNUGCAAAGAGAGCAAUUGCCUCCUGAUCCAGAUAAGCUGUCUCCUGAGGAAGCAAUAAAGCUCAAAGCUACUGAAGACAUUGUUCCUCUGAGGAAAUUGCUGAAGAAAUCAUUCCCAACACUGAUGAAAAUCAAGAAGAUGCUCCUGAGGAAAUUGCUCCAGACUCAAUUCCUCGGCCCAGACGAAAUCCUCAACCAGCUCAUCCAAGGAUUGCAAAUGAAAUAGAAGUUGACAAAAUCCUCAAUGACAUCAACGCGCCAAGUCCUCUCACUCGCUCAAAAGCUUCACACUUAGUUAACUUUUGUGGGCAUUCUUCUUUUGUGUCAAUCACAGAACCAUCAAAAGUUGUUGAGGCUUUCAUGGAACCGGAGUGGAUUCAAGCAAUGCAAUACGAACUUCUUCAAUUCAAGCUGAAUGACGUACGGGAGCUCGUCAAACGACCAGAUCCUCGCAAGCACAAUAUCAUCAGCAGCAAGUGGAUUUUCCGAAACAAGCAAGAUGAGGAUGGUCAAGUGGUGAGAAAUAAGGCACGACUUGCAGCCCAAGGCUACACACAGGUUGAAGGAAUUGAUUUUGAUGAAACUUUUGCACCUGUUGCUAGACUUGAAGCUAUUCAAAUACUACUUGCAUAUGCUAAUAAUCAUAACAUUAUCUUAUAUCAAAUGGAUGUGAAAAGUCCAUUCUCAAUGGUAAGCUUGAGGAAGAAGUAUAUGUUGCUCAGCCCCCAGGUUUUGAGGAUCCAAAGAAUCCAGACAAAGUCUUCAGACUCAAAAAGGCGCUCUAUGAUCUCAAGAAAGCCCCUCGGGCGUGGUACGAUACAUUGAAGGAAUUCCUCAUGAAGAAAGGCUUCAAACCUGGUUCACUCGAUCCAACUCUUUUCAGAAAAUCUUAUGAUAAUGAACUAUUUGUGUGCCACAUAUAUGUCGAUUACAUCAUAUUUGGCUGUACUGACAAACGUUAUAGUGAUGUAUUUGCUUACAUGAUGACUGAAGAAUAUCAGAUGUCUAUGAUGGGGGAGCUGAAAUUCUUCUUAGGNNNNNNNNNNCACAAUGGGGUCUUCAUAUCACAAGAGAAAUACCUCAAGGAUGUUCUGAGGAAAUUCGACUUGCAUGAAUGCAAAGGUGCCAAGACUCCCAUGCCUACCAACGGCCACCUCUGCACUGACGAAAAUGGUAAAGAAUUCGAUCAGCAGGUUGCCGCUAUAUGAUUGGCUCUUUACUGUAUUUGUGUGCAUCUAGGCCAGAUAUAAUGCUUAGUGUUUGCAUGUGUGCACGUUUUCAAGCAAAACCGAAGGAAUCACACCANNNNNNNNNNNNNNNNNNNNNNNNNNNNNNNNNNNNNNNNNNNNNNNNNNNNNNNNNNNNNNNNNNNNNNNNNNNNNNNNNNNNNNNNNNNNNNNNNNNNUCUUUAUUAAAAGGAGAACCUUAAUAUCCCGUAGUUUCCAUUAGGACCUCGCUGCCACGGGAGGGAUGGACAGUAGAUGUCAUGCAAGUUCUUUUCCCUAAGCACGUAUGACUACAUACGAAAUACAUGCCUACAUUAGAUUGACGAACUAGAGCUAGUUACAUAUCUCUCCAUGUUAUAACUGUUGCAUGUUGAAUAGCAUUCGUCAUAAUGAUCCAUCACCGAUCCAAUGCCUACGAGUCUUUUCCUACUGGUCCUUGCNNNNNNNNNNNNNNNNNNNNNNNNNNNNNNNNNNNNNNNNCAUGCCUACGAGUCUUUUCCUACUGGUCCUUGCUACGUUACUUUGGUCCUACUGCUGUCACUGCUGCUACUGUUACUCUGCUGCUACUGCUGUUACUUUGCUGCUACUGGUUACUGUUGCUACUGCUGCUAUCAUAUUACCUUGCUACUGAUACUUUGCUGCAGAUACUAAAUCUUUCAGGUGUCGUUGGAUUGAAAACUCAACUGCUAAUACUUGAGAAUAUUCUUUGGCUUCCCCUUGAGUCGAAUCAAUAAAUUUGGGUUGAAUACUCCACCCUCGAAAACUAUUGCGAUCCCCUACACUUGUGGGUUAUCAAUGAUGAGCCGCUUGGACCAGAUUCCUAACACGGUGCAGGCGUGGACAAAGUUCGUUGCAUGUUGCGGAGCCGACGUGACUUUCACUCGUGUGAGUCCAUUGCAAGGAGGCUAGGGAAGAUAAGCUGAAGGCGCUCCAGGUGGCUAAUACGAAGAAGCUCUGGUUUGAGGACUUCAUGGAGACCUUCAUCGACGAGGCCACUCGCAUUGCUGAUGGGAUCGAUCUUGACACCUUUGUUGAGCCUGCGAGUCCUGGUGAGCCUAGAAAAGGAACUUCGAUUACAGUCCAAACUUUUAUUCGCCUUGGUAUGUCGAGUGUUAAUGUAUUCGUUUAAACUUCGUUCGGGUGUUGAACCCGAGUACUUUUGUCCGCGUAGACAACUUUAAUUCGUGCUGGAUAUCUUUGAGNNNNNNNNNNNNNNNNNNNNNNNNNNNNNNNNNNNNNNNNNNNNNNNNNNNNNNNNNNNNNNNNNNNNNNNNNNNNNNNNNNNNNNNNNNNNNNNNNNNNGGAUUGUAAGUGCAUCUAGUGCCCCUUAGUGAUUUUGGUGGUUUGAAGACUUAUAGGUUAAGUAUCUAAUGUGUUUUUAAGUGUACACAGGAUCUAUAAGUCAUUGAUGAGUUUGAGAUAUUUGAAGAAUAUCGACCCCUAAAAAUAUAUGUCUUCAGUUGAAGAAAUUGAUCUGAAGCUGAAGAAAUGAAUCGCGAAGAAUCUGCGAUGAAAUUGAUAUUCCUCAUGAAGAUAUUGAUAUUGAGAAGAUCGGUGGUUCCUGAAGAAAAUCGUUCUGAAGAAAUUGAAGCGUGAAGAUUUUCGCUUUCUGUUUUACUUUCUUCGCAUUUGAUGAAUAGGAACACCGUACUGUUAAAGGGGGUCAAAGUAACACCAUGGAAUGGAUUUCCUCAUGAUGCUCAACCCAAGCCAAAUCCUACCAAAAGCCUCAAGNNNNNNNNNNNNNNNNNNNNNNNNNNNNNNNNNNNNNNNNNNNNNNNNNNNNNNNNNNNNNNNNNNNNNNNNNNNNNNNNNNNNNNNNNNNNNNNNNNNNNNNNNNNNNNNNNNNNNNNNNNNNNNNNNNNNNNNNNNNNNNNNNNNNNNNNNNNUUCGAUAAGCCACGCCAAGUCACUGAUCUUAUCCACUCCAACGGUCAUAUUAUUUAAGGGCAUUAAUGUCAAAUCAUGUCGGGAUGCUCCUAGUCUAUAAAUAGCCGCCCCCCACAACCACUAGCUGGUUGGCUGCUCCGAUAGAAACUGACACUUGUCAUAAGAGCAACCCAAUUCCUCAGAGCUUUCGAGAGUAAAUCAUAAGUGAGGAAAUACACCACCCACCGAAACCACAAACCAAACCUAGUGAUUGGGCAUCACUGAAGAAGUUGUUCCUGUGUGGGACUGAAGCCUUUUACAUUUGAGGACUGUGCAUCCUCCAGACGGUUAGGCGUCAUGGUCUAGAGCAAUCCAGCAGUCAAUUGUGGAUCGCCGGGUGACCGAGUUUGUGAGGGUUUGGAAGUCUGCCCUGAAGACUUACCACGAGUGUUGGGCGAGGACUGUGUGUCCUUAGCUCAAGGAGAAUACGGUAGGGACUGUGUGUCCCGGGACUGGGUGUCCUUUGGUUUAAAUACCAAGCCGCUCCAAACCAGAUGUACAACUGUCACAACAGUUGGAACUGGGUCAUCAAAAACAGUCUUCACCAAGAAUCGGGUUCUAAUUCCACAACUCUUUACAUUCUCUGUAUUAUGUGUUGAUGACUUCCACAGUGACUGUUUGAAGAAUUUGCUGAAGACUUUCUCUGAAUUUCCUCAACCCCAAAUUCUUCACUUGAGUUAAUCAUCAUCGGUAUUCUGCAUGCCUGCUUACUGUGCAAUCUGUUCUCACAUUCUUCACUCUACAAUACUGCUAUUGUGAAAGGGUUGCACGUCUGAUCCGUAAUCGUUUCCGCUGUAAGUUAGUCAUCAGUGAGGAAUNNNNNNNNNNGUAAUACUGCUAUUGUGAAAGGUUGCAUGUCUGAUCCGUAAUCGUUUCCGCUGUAAGUUAGUCAUCAGUGAGGAAUUUCCUCAAAAGGAAUUUCCUCAGUGAUGAAAUUCUAAAAACUCCUAUUCACCCCCUUCUAGUCGAUAUAACGCACUUUCAGGGGUCCUAAUGGAAACUGCAGGAUAUUAAGGUUCUCCAUUUAAUAAAGAACCGGACCAACACAUCAACACUUGGUGAAUAUAUGAACUCCUCAUACUAUGGUCAUCUCCCGGAGUGGUUCCGGCUAUUGUCACUCCGGGGUUGCCAGGUCAUAACACAUAGUAGGUGACUACAACUUGCAAGAUAGGAUGAAGAACACAUAUAUAUUGACGAGAACAUAAUAGGUUAAGAUCUGAAAUCAUGGCACUCGGGCCCUAGUGACAAGCAUUAAGCAUGGCAAAGUAGCAGCAACAUCAAUCUCAGAACAUAGUGGAUACUAGGGAUCAAUUCCCGUCAAAACUAACUCGAUUAUAUGAUAGAUCUCAACCACCCCAUCACCGUCCAGCAAGCCUACGAUAUGAUUACUCACGAACGGUGAAGAGCAUCAUGGAAUUGGCGAUGAAGGAAGGUUGGUGAUGACGAUGGCGAUGAUCUCCCCUCUCCGGAGCCCAAAACGGACUCCAGAUCUGCCCUCCAGAUGAAGAACAGGAGGUGACGGCGCCUCCGUAUCGGAAAACGCGAUGAACUCUUCUCCUUGAUUUUUUUCCGGACGAAAGGGACUAAAUAUACCUGAGAUUGGAGGCGGUGGAGUUCUAUGGGCCCCACAAGCCUGCCAGGCGCGGCCAGGGGGCCGCGCUUGGUGGGCUUGUGGGCUCAUAGCUCUACUUCCUCAGCUGAUUCUUGCGCCCGUAUUUUUCAUAAAUUCCACAAAAAUUCUGCGUAAAUUUUCAGGUCAUUCCGAGAACUUUUAUUUCUACGCAAAAACAACACCAUGGCAAUUCUGCUGAAAAUAGCGUUAGUCCGGGUUAGUUCCAUCAAAUCAUGCAAAUUAGAGUCCAAAACAAGGGCAAAAGAGUUUGGAANNNNNNNNNNNNNNNNNNNNNNNNNNNNNNNNNNNNNNNNNNNNNNNNNNNNNNNNNNNNNNNNNNNNNNNNNNNNNNNNNNNNNNNNNNNNNNNNNNNNGUGAAAAGUGCAUUCCUCAAUGGUAAGCUUGAGGAAGAAGUAUAUGUUGCUCAGCCCCCAGGCUUUGAGGAUCCAAAGAAUCCAGACAAAGUCUUCAGACUCAAAAAGGCUCUGUAUGGUCUCAAGCAAGCCCCUCGGGCAUGGUAUGAUACAUUGAAGGAAUUCCUCAUGAAGAAAGGCUUCAAACCUGGUUCANNNNNNNNNNGCUGUUUGUAUGUCAAAUAUAUGUUGAUGAUAUCAUAUUUGGCUGUACUGACAAAAGAUACAGUGAUGAAUUUGCUUAUAUGAUGAGUGAAGAAUAUCAGAUGUCUAUGAUGGGGGAGCUGAAAUUCUUCUUAGGUCUUCAAAUUCGUCAACAAAGAAAUGAAUAUUCAUAUCACAGGAGAAAUACCUCAAGGAUGUUCUGAGGAAAUUCGACAUGCAUGAAUGCAAAGGUGNNNNNNNNNNUAAAUCCUAUGAUAAUGAACUAUUUGUGGGCCAGAUAUAUGUCGAUGACAUCAUAUUUGGCUGUAUUGACAAACGUUACAGUGAUCAAUUUGCUUACAUGAUGAGUGAAGAAUAUCAGAUGCCUAUGAUGGGGGACCUGAAAUUCUUCCUAGGUCUUCAAAUUCGUCAAAAACGCAAUGGAAUCUUCAUAUCACAGGAGAAAGACCUCAAGGAUGUUCUGAGGAAAUUCGACAUGCAUGAAUGCAAAGGUGCCAAGACUCCAAUGCCUACCAACGGCCACCUCUGCACUGACGAAAAUGGUAAAGAAUUCGAUCAGCAGGUAUAUCGCUCCAUGAUUGGCUCUUUACUGUAUUUAUGUGCAUCUAGGCCAAAUAUAAUGCUUAAUGUUUGCAUGUGUGCACGUUUUCAAGCAAAACCGAAGGAAUCACACCAUAAGGCUGUGAAGCAUAUUCUUUGAUACUUAGCUCACACACCAACACUAGGAUUAUGGUACCCCAAGGGCUCAAAUCUUCAUCUUGUGGGAAAUUCUGAUUCUGACUAUGCUGGUGACCGUGUGGAUCGCAAGUCAACUUCUGGCACAUGUCAUUUCCUCGGAAGAUCACUAGUCUGCUGGUCCUCAAAGAAGCAGAACUGUGUUUCUCUCUCCACUGCCGAAGCUGAGUACAUUGCUGCUCGUUCAUCAUGUGCUCAAUUGCUAUGGAUGAAGCAAACCCUCAAGGACUACGGCAUCAACAUGAAGAAUNNNNNNNNNNNNNNNNNNNNNNNNNNNNNNNNNNNNNNNNNNNNNNNNNNNNNNNNNNNNNNNNNNNNNNNNNNNNNNNNNNNNNNNNNNNNNNNNNNNNUGUUGCUACUGCUGCUAUCAUAUUACCUUGCUACUGAUACUUUGCUGCAGAUACUAAAUCUUUCAGGUGUGGUUGAAUUGAAAACUCAUCUGCUAAUAUUUGAGAAUAUUCUUUGGCUUCCCCUUGAGUCGAAUCAAUAAAUUUGGGUUGAAUACUCCACCCUCGAAAACUAUUGCGAUCCCCUACACUUGUGGGUUAUCAAGACCUUUUUCUCGCGCCGUUGCCGGGGAAGCACAACUAUAUUCUCUGAUUCACUUGGGAUUUACGUCUUCUGGUCACUAUGAAGAAUCUGAGAGAUCCAAAAACCAAAGUCUUGCCGUCAACUACGAGGACAGGUAAGGAACUGCCAUCUAGCUCUGCACUUGAUUCACCUUCAAUUAUGAGUAAGUUUGCGACACCACCUCCUGCUAGAAAUCUUGAUAUGUCGCGUGUGCUUGAUGAUGCUACUUCUGCUGCCCAUGAUGCUUAUGAUGAUGCUAUGCUUGAUACUGCUUUGCUUGAUGAUGCUAUGCUUGAUACUGCUUUGCCACUAGGUGCAUUCCUUGAUGCACAAAUUGCUAGAGUUGCUGCUAGAUGUGAUGAUACUUCUGAAACUAAUGAUACUAUUGAAGUAGAACGUGCUACUUUGCCUGCUAGAACUAGAUCUCCUAGACAUGAAUUGCCUGAUAUGCCUGAGUGUUAUAUUAUGGAGGGAGAGAUAGCUGAGGAUUUUCUUGCUUGUAAGGAUAGUUAUGAUGUUGAGAAAUUACUGCUCAAGUGGAAAGGAAAAUCUUUGGACGCUAGGAUGAAAUACAACCCGAAGUUUGCUACUUCGCCUAUCAUUGUGACCGAUAAGGAUUAUGAAUUAUCUGUCGACCCUGAGUUAAUCACACUGGUCGAAUCUGAUCCAUUUCACGGUUAUGAGUCUGAAACGGUUGUAGCCCAUCUUACCAAACUGCAUGAUAUAGCCACCCUAUUCACUAGUGAGGAAAAGAUCCGCCACUACUAUAUCCUCAAGUUGUUUCCUUUCUCGGUAAAGGAUGAUUCUAAGACCUGGUUCACUUCUCUUGCUCCUGGUUGUGUGCGUAGCCCCCAGGAUAUGGUCUACUACUUCUCUGAAAAAUAUUUCCAUGCCCAUAAGAAGCAAGCUGCCUUGCAGGAAAUAUACAACUUUCUUCAAGCUGGAGAAGAGAGUCUCCCACAAGCUUGGUAAAGAAGCUUUGCCUGAUCACCCAAUUGAGAAGAAUGAAACACUUGAUAUAUUCUAUAAUGGACGUACUGAUGCUUCUAGAGACCACCUAGAUAGUUGUGCUCGUUGUGUUUUUAGGGAACGAAUCGUAGAAUAAGUUGAGAUCCUAUUGAAUAAUAUCAUGUGCAAUGAGAAUGCUUGGACUAUUCCCGAACCACCUCCUAAGCCAACUCCAAAGAAAAGAGGUAUUCUAUUCCUCAGUCUUGAAGAUAUGCAAGAAGCUAAGAAAUCUAUGAAAGAGAAAGGCAUUAAAUCUGAAGAUGUCAAAAAUCUACCACCUAUCGAAGAGAUCCAUGGUCUUUAUAACCCGAUACAUGUAGUAGAAGUAAAUUCUGUUCGUAGAUUCAAUGAGAGUGAUAUUCCUUUUGAUAAACCUGCUAGCUUAUGCCUGGAUGAAUUUGAUAACUUUGUUGCCAAACAACAAAGUUUCAAUGAUUAUGUUAGCAGACAAUUGGAACAGAAUGCUCGUAUGCUUAGUCAUUUAAGUGCUUGUGUGCACAGAAACGUCAAUGACCUUAAGCUGUUGAGUAAACAUGCCUCUAUGGUUACUACUCAGGUAGAACAAGUACUUAAGGCUCAGAAUGACUUGCUCAAUGAGUUGAAUGACAAUUAUGUUAGAGUCAUCACUAGAGGCGGUAGAAUGACCCAGGAACCUUUGUAUCCUGAGGGUCAUCCUAAGGGAAUUGAACAAGACUCUCAAGGAGUUAGCACUGAUGCACCUAGUCAUCCUAGAAAGAAGAAGAAAGAUGAUGGGAACCAGCACGCUAGCAACCCAGAUGCUGAUACACCUGAGAGUCCAAACGAUGUCUCUGUUUCUGAUGCCGAGACACAAUCUGGUGAUGAACAUGAGCGUAAUGAUAAUAUCAAUAGUGAUGUUCAUGUUGAUGCUCAACCUAGCAACGGUAAGGAUGUGGAGAUUGAACCUGUUGAUCUUGAUAACCCACAGCCUAAGAAUAGAAGAUAUGAUAAGAAUGACUUCGCAGCUAGGAAGCAUGGUAAAGAAAGGGAACCAUGGGUUCAGAAACCCAUGCUCUUUCCCCCCAAACCAUCUAAGAAAAAGGAUGAUGAGGAUUUUGAGCGAUUUGUCGAAAUUAUUAGACCUGUCUUUCUGCAAAUGCGUUUGACAGAUAUGCUCAAAAUGUCUCCAUAUGCUAAGUACAUGAAGGAUAUUGUGACUAAUAAGAGGAGGAUACAUGAGGUUGAGAUUUCCACCAUGCUCGCUAAUUAUACCUUCAAGGGUGGAACGCCAAAGAAACUAGGUGAUCCCGGAGUGCCCACUAUACCUUGCUCCAUUGAAGGCAACUACAUUAGAACUGCUUUAUGCGACCUUGGAGCCGGUGUUAGUGUUAUGCCUCUCUCUCUUUAUCGUAGGCUUGAACUGGAUAAGUUGACACCAACUGAAAUCUCUCUACAAAUGGCCGACAAAUCAACUACUUCCCUAUCGGCAUUUGCGAGGAUGUGCCUGUUGUGGUUGCUAACGUUACUAUCUUAACAGACUUUGUUAUUCUGGAUAUUUCUAAGGAUGAUGCCAUGGAGGUCAUCCUUGGAAGACCCUUUUUAAACACUGCAGGGGAUGUUAUUGAUUGCAACAAAGGCAAUGUCACUUUCCAUGUCAACGUUAAUGAGCAUACGGUGCAAUUUCCGAAGAAACAAUAUCGAGUACAUUGCAUCAAUGUUAUCGAAAAAACAUCAUCAAUUCUUAUUGGGAGCUUUGAAUGCCCUAUACCUCCUGUUAAGAUGAAGUAUGAUUUGCUUGCUGGGGAGAUACACAUCCCCAUUGAGGUAACCUAGUGGCUAUUCGAAAAUUCUCUGUUCUCUUUUGCGAUUCGAAAAGGUUUGUCAAGGAGACUUGAUCAACCUCAUUGACGGAUUUCUUUCUAUGACCAUGAGAUGGAUGAAUCGAGGAGUCACAAACCUCUAUUCCAAGCUUUCANNNNNNNNNNNNNNNNNNNNNNNNNNNNNNNNNNNNNNNNNNNNNNNNNNNNNNNNNNNNNNNNNNNNNNNNNNNNNNNNNNNNNNNNNNNNNNNNNNNNAGAUAGGACCUAAAACACACAUAUAUUGGCGACAACAAAAUAGGUUCAGAUCUGAAAUCUUGGCACUCGGGCCCUAGUGACAAGCAUUAAGCAUGGCAAAGUAGUAGCAACAUCAAUCUCAGAACAUAGUGGAUACUAGGGAUCAAUCCCCGUCAAAACUAACUCGAUUACAUAAUAGAUCUCAUGCAACUCAUCACCGUCCAGCAAGCCUACGAUGAUAUUACUCACGAACGAUGAAGAGCAUCAUGGAAUUGUCGAUGGAGGAAGGUUGAUGGUGACGAUGGCGACGAUUUCCCCUCUCCGGAGCCCAAAACGGACUCCAGAUCUGCCCUCCGGAUGAAGAACGAGAGGUGGCGACGCAUCCGUAUCGUAAAACGCGAUGAAUCCUUCUCUCUGAUUUUUUUGCCGAGCGAUACGAAAGAUAUAGAGCUGAGUUUGGGGGCGGUGGUGCCACGUGGGCCCCACAAGCCCUCACAACGCGGCCUAGGGGGGUGGUCGCGGCCCAUGGGCUUGUGGCCCACUCGCACACCCCCUCCGGUGGAUCUUUGCGCACGUAUUUUUCAUUUAUUCUAGAAAAAUUCUCCGUAAAUUUUCAGGACAUUCCGAGAACUUUUAUUUCUGCACAAAAACAACACCAUGGCAAUUCUGCUGAAAACAACGUUAGUCCGGGUUAGUUCCAUUCAAAUCAUGCAAAUUAGAGUCCAAAACAAGGGCAAAAGAGUUCGGAAAAGUACAUACGACAGAGACGUAUCAACUCCGCCAAGCUUAAAGCCUUGCUUGUGCUCAAGCAAUUCAUUUGAAAACUGAAAGAGACAAAAGAAAAACUUUGACGAACUCUGUUUGAUCUUGUUGUUGCAACUAUGUCUAACUCAUAACCAGAAUUUCAGCAAGAUCACCAGCAAACCACAUAAGCAAAUGACAUCUAGGUCUCACGAUAAACUCAUAUCAAUGGCAUAAUCAACUAGCGAGCAAAUAAUAAUAAGCCUCAAGUGUCAAUACUUCAAUCAAAACAACAUGAAGCAGUACGAAUAGAUGGUAUCUCUCUAGCUCUUUCUGAGACAGCAAAACAUAAAUGCAGAGCACCUUCAAAGACCAAGGGCUGACUAAACAUUGUAAUUCAUGGCAAUGAAGAUCCAGUCACAGUCAUACUCAACACAGUUAAAAGCAAAGCAUAAAAAUGACAGAGUUGCUCUCUAAUUAGUGCUUUUGUAAGAGGAGGAUGACUCAACAUGAACAUAAACAGACAGGCCCUUCGCAGAGGGAAGCAUUGAUUUGCAGAGGUGCCAGAGCUCAAGCUUUGAAAACAGAGAUAAUAAUUUUGGGUGGCAUGCUUUCAUUGUCAACGCAAUGACUAAGAGUUCUCAACAUCUUCCACGCUACACAUGCUAUAGGCGGUUCCCAAACAGAAAAGUAAAGUUUUGACUCCCCCACCACCAAUCAAUCACACUCCACGGCUAGCCGAAUCCUCGGGUACCGUCCAUACCAACAUCAAUCCUGGGGGAGUUUUGUUUGCAAUUAUCUUUUCAAUUUGAGUAUGGAACUGGGAAUUCCAAUUACCGGCCCCUUUCUCGUGAAUGAUAGUGAAUAAACACAUAUCGAGGAUAACACGCCUAGCAUGGAAGAUACCAAUAGCCCCAUGUCACCANNNNNNNNNNNNNNNNNNNNNNNNNNNNNNNNNNNNNNNNNNNNNNNNNNNNNNNNNNNNNNNNNNNNNNNNNNNNNNNNNNNNNNNNNNNNNNNNNNNNNNNNNNNNNNNNNNNNNNNNNNNNNNNNNNNNNNNNNNNNNNNNNNNNNNNNNNNNNNNNNNNAACGGCAGGUAGAUACCGCACAUAGGUAGGUAUGGUGGACUCAUAUGGCACAACUUUGGGUUUAUGGAAGUGGAUGCACAAGCAGUAUUCCCUCUUAGUAAAAGUGAAGGCUAACAAAAGACUAGGAAGCGAACAACAGUCAUCAANNNNNNNNNNNNNNNNNNNNNNNNNNNNNNNNNNNNNNNNNNNNNNNNNNNNNNNNNNNNNNNNNNNNNNNNNNNNNNNNNNNNNNNNNNNNNNNNNNNNAAGCAUUAAGCAUGGCAAAGUAGCAGCAACAUCAAUCUCAGAACAUAGUGGAUACUAGGGAUCAAUCCCCGUCAAAACUAACUCGAUUACAUGAUAGAUCUCAUCCAACCCAUCACCGUCCAGCAAGCCUACGAUGAGAUUACUCACGAACGGUGAAGAGCAUCAUGGAAUUGGCGAUGAAGGAAGGUUGGUGAUGACGAUGGCGACGAUCUCCCCUCUCCGGAGCCCAGAAUGGACUCCAGAUCUGCUCUCGAGAGGAAGAAUAGGAGGUGGCGGCGCCUCCGUAUCGGAAAACGCGAUGAACUCUUCUCCUUGAUUUUUNNNNNNNNNNNNNNNNNNNNNNNNNNNNNNNNNNNNNNNNNNNNNNNNNNNNNNNNNNNNNNNNNNNNNNNNNNNNNNNNNNNNNNNNNNNNNNNNNNNNNNNNNNNNNNNNNNNNNNNNNNNNNNNNNNNNNNNNNNNNNNNNNNNNNNNGUGGGCCCCACAAGCCUGCCAGGCGGGCGAGGGUGGGCCCGCGCCUGGUGGGCUUGUGGGCUCCAGCUCCACUUCCUCCGUUGAUUCUUGCGCCAGUAUUUUUUAUAUAUUCCACAAAAAUUCUUGGUAAAUUCUCAGGUCAUUCCGAGAACUUUUAUUUCUGCGCAAAAACAACACCAUUGCAAUUCUGCUGAAAACAACGUUAGUCCGGGUUAGUUCCAUUCAAACCAUGCAAAUUAGAGUCCAAAACAAGGGAAAAAGAGUUUGGAAAAGUACAUACGAUGGAGACGUAUCAACUCCCCCAAGCUUAAAACCUUGCUUGUCCUCAAGCAAUUCAGUUGACAAACUGAAAGAGACAAAAGAAAAACUUCUACANNNNNNNNNNNNNNNNNNNNNNNNNNNNNNNNNNNNNNNNNNNNNNNNNNNNNNNNNNNNNNNNNNNNNNNNNNNNNNNNNNNNNNNNNNNNNNNNNNNNACCAAAGAAGACAAGAUAGCAACGUGAAACCAUCAAAAAUUAUAGAUACGUUUGAGAUGUAUCACCCGUUAUUGCGCUCUUAAGAAUACUAAGGUCGGGUGCGCAGAGGUGACAAUGCUCAAUCUUGCCAUUAAUGCAUCUGCCUAUGAAGAGGGCAAAUUAAUGCAAGGCAGGAAAAUGAAUGCUCCCCAUGGUAGCUUGCGUAAUAUCUCUAGUUUCUCCAAAAGUUAUACCAGAGAAAAAAUCUCUAACCGAAGAUUUAGGAGGAUCAUUGAGACUACCCCAAAUAGGUAUCUUGCAAAUUCUAUUGAAAUCCUCUAUAUCCAUGGUAUACGAUUUGUCAUAGAGAUCAAACAGUACAGAUGUAUCACGGCCAACUGAAAAUUUGAAUCUACGAACAGAAGAGGCAGUGAGAGCAACAUACUGUUCACAUUUAUCGAGAUGAAUUCUUCGAGUCCGACGUUGUCAACAAGUGUAUCAAACUCGUCUUUGAAACCUGCCUCUAUCAUGAAUUCAUCAGAAGUCCAUUCACAUGGUUGUACGUGUGCGUUCCUUGGUUGGUAAGGAUCGGGCUCCCGAAUCGCGAGACGGGGACCUCUCUUGCUUGAGGAACCACCAUGAUAGUUUCUCCUGAACAUCUUCCUUUUCUGAAAUUUUCAGUGACUCUAAGGAAAAGUGAACAAGGCCCAACGAAACUCGUAGCAACUACUCUCACAAGUGCCUAGAGGCCAUAUUACGCAUCCAAACUAAUUGGGACCAGCUAAAAUUAGCAUGCAAGGCUCAAGAACAUGGUCACCAAGGCAGCAAAAAUACGCGAAUUAAAGGCACUAGAGCAAAAACUAAUUGGACAAUGGAGGAGUCACAUACCAAGGAGCAAUUUCCCCAAAACAAUUUGGUGAAUGGUGCUUUGCACAAGGAGAUCGAAAAUACCAGCAAGAAGAGCAAGAACACGGGUUUGAGCUGCGAAACAAUUUUUUUUCUGGAGGCAGGAGAAGUAGAUGGGAGCUAGAAUGAGUGAAGGGGGUGCACCUGUGCCCCACAACCCUGGUAGGUGUGGCAAGGGGGGUGCCCGUGCCUCCAGGGCAUGUGGCCCACUCGUGCAGCCCCAAGACUAGCUCUUCGUCUCGGUAUUUUUCAAAAAUUCCAGAAAAAAAUCAUACUUGAUUUUCACGGCAUUCGGAGAACUUUUAUUUUCGGGGUACUUUUCUACGGGACGCUAAAACAGAAAAUAGGGAAAACUAAACUAAACCUAUCAUUUUUCUUCUAAGCAACCUAAAGUGAAAGCUUGGAAUGGAGGUUUGUGACUCCUCGAUUCAUCCAUCUCAUUGUCAUCGAAAUAAAAUCCGUCAAUGAGGUUGAUCAAGUCUCCUUGACAAACCUUUUCGAAUCGCAAAAUAAGACAGAGAAUUUUUGAAUAGUCACCAGGUAACCUCAAUGGGGAUGUGUAUCUCCCCAACAAGCAAAUCAUACUUCAUCUUGACACGAAGAAUAGGGCAUUCAAAGCUCCUAGUAAGAAUCGAUGAAGUUUUUUUCGAUAGCAUUGAUGCAAUGUACUCGAUAUUGUUUCUUCGAAAAGUGCACCGUAUGCUCAUUACCGUUGACAUGGAAAGUGACAUUGCCNNNNNNNNNNNNNNNNNNNNNNNNNNNNNNNNNNNNNNNNNNNNNNNNNNNNNNNNNNNNNNNNNNNNNNNNNNNNNNNNNNNNNNNNNNNNNNNNNNNNUUGGUAAGAUGGGCUACAACCGUUUCAGACUNNNNNNNNNNCACCAAGUCUCAGCAUCAUCUUCUAGCGAGAAAGGAAACAACUUAAGGAUAUAGUAGUGGUAGAUCUUUUCCUCUCUCGUGAAUAGGAUGGCUAUAUCGUGCAGUUUGGUAAGAUGGGCUACAACCGUUUCAGACUCAUAACCGUGAAAAGGAUCAGAUUCGACCAGAGUGAUUAACUCAGGGUCGACAGAGAAUUCAUAAUCCUUAUCGGUCACAAAUAUAGGCGAAGUAGCAAACUUCGGGUCGUAUUUCAUCCUAGCGUUCAAAGAUUUUUCUUUCCACUUGAGCAGUAAUUUCUCAACAUCAUAGCUAUCCUUACAAGAAAGAAAGUCCUCAGCUAUCUCUCCCUCCAUAACAUAACCCUCAAGCAUAUCAGGCAAUUCAUAUCUAGGAGAGCUAGUUCUAACAGGCAAAAUAUCAGGUUCUACUUCAAUAGUAUCAGCAGUUUCAGAAGUAUCAUCACGUCUAGCAGAAACUCUAGCAAUUUGUGCAUCAAGGGANNNNNNNNNNNNNNNNNNNNNNNNNNNNNNNNNNNNNNNNNNNNNNNNNNNNNNNNNNNNNNNNNNNNNNNNNNNNNNNNNNNNNNNNNNNNNNNNNNNNAUAGCANNNNNNNNNNAGAGUUUUCAAUUCAACCACAGCUGAAAGAUUUAGUAUCUGCAGCAAAGUAUCAGUAGCAAAGUAGUAUGAUAGCAGCAGUAGCAAUAGUUACCAGUAGCAGCAGAGUGAUAUCAGUAGCAGCAAAGUAACAACAGUAGCUGCAGUGACAGCAGUAGCGGCAAAGUAACGUAGCAAGGUCCAGUAGGAAAAAUUCGUCGGCAUUGGAUNNNNNNNNNNCGGCAGACUAUUCCUAACUUUUGUAUCAAUGGUGCCGGUAGGUUGCACGUGGAUGGGGAACUAUUCUUCCCCGGCAACAAGUAACAGCGAAGUAGCAAGGAACAGCAGUAGCAGCAGCAGCAGAGUAACACCAGUAGCAACAGUAGUAGCAAAGUGGCCCAAUCCCUUUUGUAGCAAGGGACAAGCCUAGACAAAGUAACGUNNNNNNNNNNCGGUGAUGGAUGAUUAUGCCGGAUGCUAUUCAUCAUGCAACAGUUAGAACACAGAGAGAUAUGUAACUAGCUCCAGUUCGUCAAUGUAACGUAGGCAUGUAGUUGAUACGUCUCCGUCGUAUCUACUUUUCCUAACUCUUUUGCCCUUGGUUUUGGACUCUAAUUUGCAUGAUUUGAAUGGAACUAACCCGGACUNNNNNNNNNNUGCAUGACAUAUAUUGUCCAUCCCUCCCAUGGCAGCGGGGUCCUAAUGGAAACUACGGGAUAUUAAGGUUCUCCUUUNNNNNNNNNNGACGCUAUUUUCAACACAACUACCUUGGUGCUAUUUUUGUGUAGAAAUAAAAGUUCUCGGAAUUGUACAAAACUUUUCGUGAAUUAUUUCUAGAAUAAAUAAGUAACUUUGGAGCGAACANNNNNNNNNNNNNNNNNNNNNNNNNNNNNNNNNNNNNNNNNNNNNNNNNNNNNNNNNNNNNNNNNNNNNNNNNNNNNNNNNNNNNNNNNNNNNNNNNNNNAAGCGACAUAACACUAACACCGGCUCCAAGGUCGCAUAAAGCAGUUCUAACGUAGUUUCCUUUAAUGGAGCAAGGUAUAGUGGGCACACCGGGAUCACCUAGUUUCUUAGGAGUUCCACCCUUGAAGGUAUAAUUAGCGAGCAAGGUGGAAAUCUCAACCUCGGGUAUCCUCCUCCUAUUAGUCACAAUAUCUUUCAUGUACUUAGCAUACAGAGACAUUUUGAGCAUUCUGUCAAACGCAUUUGCAGAAAGACAUGUCUAAUCAUUUCAACUAAUCGCUCAAAAUCCUCAUCAUUCUUUUUCUUGGAUGGUUUGGGAGGAAGGGGCAUGGGUUUCUGAACCCAUGGUUCCCUUUCUUUACCAUGCUUCCUAGCAGUGAAGUCAUUCUUAUUGUAUCUCCUAGCCUUAGGCUGUGGGUUAUCAAGAUCAACAGGUUCAAUCUCCACAUCCUUAUCAUUGCUAGGUUGAGCAUCAACAUGAAAUUCACUAUUGAUAUUAUCAUUAGGCUCAUGUUCAUCACCAUAUUGUGUUUCAGCAUCAGAAACGGAGGCAUCGUUUGGAAUCUCACGGGUAGCAGCAUCUGGGUUGCUAGCGUGCAAGUUCCUAUCAUCUUUCUUCUUCUUUCUAGGAUGACUAGGUGCAUCAGUGCUAACUCCUUGAGAAUCCUGUUCAAUUCUUUUAGGAUGACCCUUAGGAAACAAAGGUUCCUAAGUCAUUCUACCGCCUCUAGUGACGACUCUGAUAGAAUUGUCAUUCAACUCGUUGAGCAAGUCAUUCUGAGCCUUAAGUACUUGUUCUACCUGGGUAGUAACCAUAGAGGCAUGCUUACUCAGAAGCUUAAGAUCAUUGACAUUUCUGUCUACACAAGCACUUAAAUGACUAAGCAUAUGAGCAUUCUGUUCCAAUUGUGUGCUAACAUAAUCAUUGAAACUCUGUUGUUUGGCAACAAAGUUAUCAAAUUCAUCCAGGCAUAGGCUAGCAGGUUUAUCAAAAGGAAUAUCACUCUCAUCAAACCUACACAGAGAAUUUACUUCUACUACCUGUAUCGGGUUAUCAAGACCAUGGAUCUCUUUGAUAGGUGGUAGAUUUUUGACAUCUUCAGAUUUAAUGCCUUUCUCUCGCAUAGAUUUCUUAGCUUCUUGCAUAUCUUCAGGAUUGAGGAAUAGAAUACCUCUUUUCUUUGGCGUUGGCUUAGGAGGUGGUUCGGGAAUAGUCCAAGCAUUCUCAUUGCACAAGAUGUUAUUCAAUAGGAUCUCAGCUUGUUCUACAGUUCGUUCCCUAAAAACACAACCAGCACAACUAUCUAGGUGGUCUCUAGAUGCAUUGGUAAGUCCAUUAUAGAAGAUAUCAAGUAUUUCAUUCUUCUCAAGAGGGUGAUCAGGCAAAGCAUUGAGUAGUUGGACGAGCCUCCCCUAAGCUUGUGGGAGACUCUCUUCUUCAACUUGUGCAAAGUUGUAUAUUUCCUGCAAGGCAGCUUGCUUCUUAUGGGCAGGGANNNNNNNNNNUUGGAAGCAUCGGUAAGUCCAUUAUAGAAGAUAUCAAGUAAUUCAUUCUUCUCAAGAGGGUGAUCACCCAAAGCAUUCAGCAGUUGGAUGAGCCUUCCCCAAGCUUGUGGGAGACUCUCUUCUUCAGCUUGAGCAAAGUUGUAUAUUUCCUGCAAGGCAGCUUGCUUCUUAUGGGCAGGAAANNNNNNNNNNNNNNNNNNNNNNNNNNNNNNNNNNNNNNNNNNNNNNNNNNNNNNNNNNNNNNNNNNNNNNNNNNNNNNNNNNNNNNNNNNNNNNNNNNNNAUAGCAACGGUGUCAGAAACAUAUCUGUUGACGGCAGACUAUUCCUAACUUUUGUAUCAAUGGUGCCGGUAGGUUGCACGUGGAUGGGGAACUAUUCUUCCCCGGCAACAAGUAACAGCGAAGUAGCAAGGAACAGCAGUAGCAGCAGCAGCAGAGUAACACCAGUAGCAACAGUAGUAGCAAAGUGGCCCAAUCCCUUUUGUAGCAAGGGACAAGCCUAGACAAAGUAACGUAGGAAGGACCAGUAGUAAAAGACUCGUAGGCAGUGGAUCGGUGAUGGAUGAGUAUGACGGAUGUGAUUCAUCAUGUAACAGCUAUAACACGGAGACAUGAGUAACUAGCUCCCGUUCGUCAAUCUAAUGUAGGCAUGUAUUCCGUAUGUAGUCAUACGUGCUUAGGGAAAGGAACAUGCAUGACAUAUAUUGUCCAUCCCUCCCAUGGCAGCGGGGUCCUAAUGGAAACUACGGGAUAUUAAGGUUCUCCUUUUAAUAAAGAACCGGACCAACGCAUUAACACUUGGUGAAUACAUGAACUCCUCAUACUAUGGUCAUCUCCGGGAGUGGUUCCGGCUAUUGUCACUCCGGGGUUGCCGGGUCAUAACACANNNNNNNNNNNNNNNNNNNNNNNNNNNNNNNNNNNNNNNNNNNNNNNNNNNNNNNNNNNNNNNNNNNNNNNNNNNNNNNNNNNNNNNNNNNNNNNNNNNNGCCGCUACUGCUGUCACUGCAGCUACUGUUGUUACUUUGCUGCUACUGAUAUCACUCUGCUGCUACUGGUAACUAUUGCUACUGCUGCUAUCAUACUACUUUGCUACUGAUACUUUGCUGCAGAUACUAAAUCUUUCAGCUGUGGUUGAAUUGAAAACUCUACUGCUAAUACUUGAGAAUAUUCUUUGGCUUCCCCUUGAGUCGAAUCAAUAAAUUUGGGUUGAAUACUCUACCCUCGAAAACUGUUGCGAUCCCCUAUACUUGGGGGUUAUUAAGACUAUUUUCUGGCACCGUUGCCGAGGAAGCACAGCAAUAUUCUCUGAGACACUUGGGAUUUAUGUCUGUUGAUCACUAUGAGGAAUCCGAUAGAUCAAAGAACUAAAGUCUUGCCCUCAACUACGGGGACAGGUAAGGAACUGCCAUCUAGCUCUGCACUUGAUUCACCUUCAGUUAUGAGUAAGUUUGCGACACCAUCUCCUGUUAGAAAUCUUGAUAUGUCGCCUGUGCUUGAUGAUGCUACUUCUGCUGCCCAUGAUGCUUAUCAUGAUGCUAUGCUUGAUACUGCUUUGCCACUAGGUGCAUUCCUUGAUGCACAAAUCGCUAGAGUUGCUGCUAGAUGUGAUGAUACUUCUGAAACUGUUGAUACUAUUGAAGUAGAACCUGCUAUUUUGCCUGUUAGAACUAGCUCUCCUAGAUAUGAAUUGCCUGAUAUGCUUGAGGGUUAUGUUAUGGAGGGAGAGAUAGCUGAGGACUUUCUUUCUUGUAAGGAUAGCUAUGAUGUUGAGAAAUUACUGCUCAAGUGGAAAGAAAAAUCUUUGAACGCUAGGAUGAAAUACGACCCGAAGUUUGCUACUUCGCCUAUAUUUGUGACCGAUAAGGAUUAUGAAUUCUCUGUCGACCCUGAGUUAAUCACUCUGGUCGAAUCUGAUNNNNNNNNNNNNNNNNNNNNNNNNNNNNNNNNNNNNNNNNNNNNNNNNNNNNNNNNNNNNNNNNNNNNNNNNNNNNNNNNNNNNNNNNNNNNNNNNNNNNNNNNNNNNNNNNNNNNNNNNNNNNNNNNNNNNNNNNNNNNNNNNNNNNNNNNNNNNNNNNNNNNNNNNNNNNNNNNNNNNNNNNNNNNNNNNNNNNACUGCACGAUAUAGCCAUCCUAUUCACGAGAGAGGAAAAGAUCUACCACUACUAUAUCCUUAAGUUGUUUCCUUUCUCGCUAGAAGAUGAUGCUGAGACUUGGUGCACUUCUCUUGCUCCUGGUUGUGUGCGUAGCCCCCAGGAUAUGGUCUACUACUUCUCUGAAAAAUAUUUCCAUGCCCAUAAGAAGCAAGCUGCCUUGCAGGAAAUAUACAACUUUCUUCAAGCUGGAGAAGAGAGUCUCCCACNNNNNNNNNNNNNNNNNNNNNNNNNNNNNNNNNNNNNNNNNNNNNNNNNNNNNNNNNNNNNNNNNNNNNNNNNNNNNNNNNNNNNNNNNNNNNNNNNNNNCGUUACUUUGCCGCUACUACUGUCACUGCUGCUACUGUUACUCUGUUGCUACUGGUGUUACUUUGCUGCUACUGGUGUCACUCUGCUGCUACUGGUUAUUGUUGCUACUGCUGCUAUCAUACUACUUUGCUACUGAUACUUUGUUGCAGAUACUAAAUCUUUCAGGUGUGGUUGGAUUGACAACUCAACUGCUAAUACUUGAGAAUAUUAUUUGUCUUCCCCUUGAGUCGAAUCAAUAAAUUUGGGUUGAAUACUCUACCCUCGAAAAUUGUUGCGAUCCCCUAUACUUGUGGGUUAUCAAUGAUGAGCCGCUUGGACCAGAUUCCUAACACGGUGCAGGCGUGGACAAAGUUCGUUGCAUGUUGCGGAGCCGACGUGACUUUCACUCGUGUGAGUCCAUUGCAAGGAGGCUAGGGAAGAUAAGCUGAAGGCGCUCCAGGUGGCUAAUACGAAGAAGCUCUGGUUUGAGGACUUCAUGGAGACCUUCAUCGACGAGGCCACUCGCAUUGCUGAUGGGAUCGAUCUUGACACCUUUGUUGAGCCUGCGAGUCCUGGUGAGCCUAGAAAAGGAACUUCGAUUACAGUCCAAACUUUUAUUCGCCUUGGUAUGUCGAGUGUUAAUGUAUUCGUUUAAACUUCGUUCGGGUGUUGAACCCGAGUACUUUUGUCCGCGUAGACAACUUUAAUUCGUGCUGGAUAUCUUUGAGNNNNNNNNNNNNNNNNNNNNNNNNNNNNNNNNNNNNNNNNNNNNNNNNNNNNNNNNNNNNNNNNNNNNNNNNNNNNNNNNNNNNNNNNNNNNNNNNNNNNAUCUAUCAUGUAAUCGAGUUAGUUCUUGACGGGGAUUGAUCCCUAGUAUCCACUAUGUUCUAGAUUGAUGUUGCUACUACUUGGCUAUGCUUAAUGCUUGUCACUAGGGCCCGAGUGCCAUGAUUUCAGAUCUGAACCUAUUAUGUUGUCACCAAUAUAUGUGUGUUUUGGAUCCUAUCUUGCAAGUUGUAGUCACCUACUAUGCGUUAUGACCCGGCAACCCCGGAGUGACAAUAGCCGGAACCACUCCGGAGAUGACCAAAGUAUGAGGAGUUCAUGUAUUCACCGCGUGUUAAUGCGUUGGUCUGGUUCUUUAUUAAAAGGAGAACCUUAAUAUCCCGUAGUUUCCAUUAGGNNNNNNNNNNCGUCGCCAAUAUAUGUGUGUUUUAGAUCCUAUCUUGCAAGUUGUAGUCACCUACUAUGCAUUAUGACCCGGCAACCCCGAAGUGACAAUAGCCGGAACCACUCCGGGAGAUGACCAUAGUAUGAGGAGUUCAUGUAUUCACCGCGUGUUAAUGUAUUGGUCCGGUUCUUUAUUAAAAGGAGAACCUUAAUAUCCCGUAGUUUCCAUUAGGACCCCGCUGCCAUGGGAGGGAUGGCCAAUAGAUGUCAUGCAAGUUCUUUUCCCUAAGCACGUAUGACUACAUACGGAAUACAUGCCUACAUUAGAUUGAUGAACGGGAGNNNNNNNNNNNNNNNNNNNNNNNNNNNNNNNNNNNNNNNNNNNNNNNNNNNNNNNNNNNNNNNNNNNNNNNNNNNNNNNNNNNNNNNNNNNNNNNNNNNNAAAGUGGAGCAUGUGAUUCUACACGUCAUUCUACUCGAUUUACAUAUAUAGAUCAUCUCCAACGGAGCUACGGAUCAAAAGUUACGACUAAAUUACCUUAGCACGGUACGACACGCAAAACGAUGCAACCAGCAAGCUUAACCGUUUUAAUCAUGCAUGAGAGUGGGAAAAUAUUAAUCCNNNNNNNNNNNNNNNNNNNNNNNNNNNNNNNNNNNNNNNNNNNNNNNNNNNNNNNNNNNNNNNAAAAAAGAAUUAAUAUGGUGAUAUAACAAAGGAACCCAUGUUAUCACAUGGAAGCAACUACACCUGCAACUAGCAACGCUAACACAUGGUUAAGCAAGCGGUAACAUAGCCAAUCAGUGGUUUGCUAGGUUGUGAACAGGUUGAAGGUUGACAUAACAAUGUUGAGAGGCUGAUAUUUAACAGGUGGUAUGCAACGAGACAUAGCGAUAGAAACGAUAAUACUAGCAUGGCAAUGAUAGUAAUGGUAUCUGGGGAAAUGGUCAUCUUGCCUAAGAUCUUGCUUGGAAGAAGAACAACUCCGUGAAGCAGACGAACCGAUGUAGUCGAACGGGUCCUCACUUUCCAACACGCUUGCGGAACUCUAUUGAAACGAAGCAAACCGGAAACAAGCAUCAACACACGAUAUACAUCACAUGAUGAUGCAUGAACGGUUGGAUAUAUGCAAGACAUAGCAUGUCAUUUCACAACAUUCAACCACUACACAUUAAGUGAAGUUCAAUAUGCAACGAGUUGCAUAUUGACGAAACUCCACAUACGAUUUAUUUAGUUCUAUCCCGAUUAGGUACACAACAAUAUUAAAUGUGGUUAAACAUGGCAAGAGGUGAAGCGUAAUUAAUCUACCUAUCUAGGCAUUUUAAAUGAGGUCGGAAAUCACAUAUAGCACCUCUAGAACGACCUCACAUGUUAAUUUACUAUUCUGUCCAGACCUGAACUAACAUGUUUAAAUAUUUGUUGAACAGAAAAAUAAAUAGGUUCACGUGAUUCUACACGUCAUUACAAUCAAAAGAUACGAACACCACAAGAUAUGAUGGCAUGAAUGCAAAAUGUGUGCAACGACAGUCACAAGNNNNNNNNNNCAAGAUAAUAUGAAACUACACGAGAUUCUAAGAAAGUUUCAUAUAGGACACGAUCAAAACGGAGCAACGGUUCAACAACAACGAGCUAAACAAGAAAUCACUACAAUCUGCCAAAAUCAGCCACAUAACAUAUUCUACGUCCUCGAACAACUAGCUAGACAAAUCCAAAAUGCUCAAACAAAGCAUGAGUCAAUAGAGGGAAAGAUGCACUACCACAUGCAACUUAUAACACCUAGCAUGGAAGCAUGGAUCACUAGGAAAAGAACUCACAAAAUGGCAUCCCACACACAUUUUCAGACUUAGUGAAAUCUCAGUUUAUGACUGUGCAGUUUUCGAUAUGAAGGCAUAUUGACAGCAGCAAAACCAUAAGCUACAUGACUCCAAAUGGCAUGAAAAUUGACAGCAUGCUAGAGAAUCUUAAAGUCAACUAACUCCAUUGCACCAACCUCAAAAGAGCUAUAGAUCACCAGAUNNNNNNNNNNGAGCAAGUAGAAAACAAGCAAACCACACCUAAACAUGGAUUUCUAUUGCAACCAAAAUUACCAGAGGCUAGCCUACACAUCCAAGGGCAUAUCUCUAGUUGACAACUCGUCCAUAUCAUGCACGGAUUAAAUCCCACAAAAAUAAACAAAAGGGCAACAUGGCAAAAUAUCACGCAAACUAAUUUGCUCAAAAGCUAAANNNNNNNNNNNNNNNNNNNNNNNNNNNNNNNNNNNNNNNNNNNNNNNNNNNNNNNNNNNNNNNNNNNNNNNNNNNNNNNNNNNNNNNNNNNNNNNNNNNNGGUACAAGAAUAAAGAGGGGGAUGAUCUACGCAUAACGGACGUGAACUACUGAUGAUCAAAUGAAUGAUCCUGAACACCUACUUACGUCAAACAUAACCCCACCGUGUCCUCGAUCGGAAAAGGAGAUCACGAAAGAGACAGUCAUGAUUACACACUCAGUUGGCAAGUUUUUAAUUAAGUUAACUUCCAGUUAUCUAGAACCAGUGUUAAACAAAGUUUCCACGUUGCCACAUAACGGCGGGCAUGGCUUUCCGAAAGAUUUAACCCUGCAAGGGUGCUCCAACUAGUCCAUAACAAAUUACCACAAGCCGCAUAGAAAUCCUCGAUCACGAAACUCAAGAUCUCGUCAGACUCCUUAGUGGAAAACCUCAACUCUCAGAUUACCCAAAGCAUCACCGACAUCCCGAUGCACAAGAUAUCUCGUAAAAGGUAAAACUAAUCCAGCAAGGCCGCCCGACGUGUCGACGAUCCCGAUAGGAGCCGCGUAUCUCGUUCUUAGGACACGAUGGAUGAGCUAGACGUGGGGUUGGCUAAACCGUGGGUGACCAGGGGGAGCCGAAAAUCGCUCAGGUGGGACCAACACCCAUGAGGAGCACCAGCCCGGGGGUUGAUUAAAUUACUCCGCGGGUGUCGGCGGGUCCCUAUGCAUUAUUAUUAGGUUAUUAGGCAAAUGUAGUACCAAAGUUGGGCCUUGCGAGACCAGUUUUAAUCUAAGACGAAUUAUCAAGGGGGUCCCCAUAACAACCCCGAUCAUGUUAGGAGCGCUCAUUUAUGGAACAUAACACCUGUAGCCGAAACUAAGGAGGCAAAGGUGGAACAAAAUACCAGGCCAGAAAGGCCGAGCCUUCCACCUUUUACCAAGUAUAUAGGUNNNNNNNNNNNNNNNNNNNNNNNNNNNNNNNNNNNNNNNNNNNNNNNNNNNNNNNNNNNNNNNNNNNNNNNNNNNNNNNNNNNNNNNNNNNNNNNNNNNNUGUUAUAGUUCAUCAUGAAGCUCUCACGACUUGGUGGCAGUGACUUUGGAGAACCAUCAAUAUCUCAUCUGGAAGAUUAACUCCCACUUGAUUCAAGCGAUUGUCGUACUCAGACAAUCUGAGCACACGCUCAAUGAUUGAGCUUUUCUCCUUUACUUCGUGGACAAAGAAUCUUGUUGGAGGUCGCAUACCUCUUAACAAGGGCACGAGCAUGAAAUCACAAUUUCAUCUCUUUAGAACAUCUCUUAUGUUCCGUGACGUUUCAAAACGUCUUCGGCGCCUUGCUUCUAAGCUAUUAAGUAUUUUGCACUGAACUAUCGCGUAGUCAUCAGAAACGUGUAUGUCGGAUGUUCACAACAUCCACAGACGACGCUCGAGGUGCCGCACACCGAUUGGUGCAUUAAGGACAUAAGCCUUCUGCGUAGCAACGAGGACAAUCCUCAGUUUUACACACUAAGUCUGCAAAGUUUGGUAUUAUCAACUUUCAACUAAAUUUUCUCUAGGAACAUAUAAAAACAGUAGAGCUAUAGCGCAAGCUACAUCNNNNNNNNNNNNNNNNNNNNNNNNNNNNNNNNNNNNNNNNNNNNNNNNNNNNNNNNNNNNNNNNNNNNNNNNNNNNNNNNNNNNNNNNNNNNNNNNNNNNCUUGUAGCUGAGCGAUCAGUUUCUACACUUCUUAGAACUGAAACAGUUGCAGCAAACAUCUUGAGCAAACUUUUGAUUGACUUAUAGUGUGAACUCCAUCUCGUGUCCCCGACCCUUUGAAAAGAUCAUAUUUGAUUAGCCCCUCUUCCAGUGUCAAGCUCUCCCAAUUCAAUCUCUCUAGCAAUUUCAGCUGCCUAGUUUUCUAGUAACUCAUCAUUACGUUUGGGAGAUGCACUAACUCUAUUCACAACAAAAUUUGCAUGUUGGAAAAAAUUGUGAACCCCAUUUACCUCCCUUGAAGCGGCAACCAAAGCCAUUUGGAGUUGAUGAGCUAGACAAUGGAUAUAAUAAGCAUAAGGACACUCUUGGAGAAUUAGAGCCUUUAGCCCAUUCCACUCCCCUCUCAUAUUGCUUGCUCCAUCGUACCCUUGGCCUCUAAUAUCUUGCACAUUCAACCCAUUAUCAACUAGGAGGGCAAUGAUUUUAUUCUUGAGAGUAAAAGCACAAAUGUCACUAACAUGAACAAGAUCAAGGAAACGCUCCCUUAUCAACCCUCAUAUGUUCACAAACCGAAGAACUACUGCCAUCUGCUCUUUUUUAGACUCAUCCCGACAUUCAUAAACUACUAUUGCAAACUUGCUAUUACCCAUUUCUUCUUUAAUUGAGGUUUGCACUUUUCGUGAAAUUAUGCUAGCAAUUUCCUUCUGAAUAGUUGAGGAGGUGUACUUUGCAUUUUUAGGAGCAUUAUGUACAACUUCUUGUACAUACUUAUUAUAAGAGGCAAAAAGUUUAAUCAUUUCCUUGAAAUUACCUUAAUUCUUGGAAUCCUCAUAUUCAUCAUUUCCUCUAAAUGGACAUGCUUGGAACAUUAACCACCUGAUGCAAUCAAUAGAGAAUAAUUAUUAGAUAUAAUGCAUCAGGAAAAUUGUCUCAAAUUAAAUAUUUGUUGCUUACCUCAUGGCAUCAAUAGAAGUCUUAAGCCUCAGUCUUGCAUCAAGAACCAUUUGCUUAGUUUGCUUUUUCAUCACCUUGUCAAUAUGAGUUGGAUUAUUUUUCAUAUUUUCGUAACACCAAACUGUAAAGUUAUGAACCGAACUGGGAGUAGUGCCCAUAUGUUUGAGAAAAGCACAUUCUUUUCCAUCGUUAACCUUCUUCCACUUAUCAAAUCCUUUGACAGUGAAUGUGUUCGAACCACACUUCCCAACUGGCUUCUUCGAAAAGAGAAAACAUGGCAAGCAAUAGGCACAUUUUGUAUCAUCGAAUAUUCCAACCACCAAAUAUUUAUGUACCAAUCUUUUUGGAAUCGCCGAACAUCACUUCUUUCAUUAUAUUCAUAAUUUUCCAAUUCGGGCUGAUAGGCCCCUCACAUAUAUAAAAACGCCUAGCAUCAUCUUGCUUUUCUGGAGGGAGUUGCCAAAUUUGAGGGCGCCUCCCUGGGUCUCGAUCAUAUUUUUUGGUUAUAACUUUAGCUUCUUCUGUAACUUCUGGCACUGGAACAUCUUGAGGAUCACCUUCAGCAUGACAAGGGUUGUUCUCUUCGCUAGGUUGCACAUCAUUUGUAUUAGCACCAUCACCAUGUUCACAUGGCUGAGAGCUUGAACCAAUUGGCUUAAAAAGUAUGGAUUGAUUGAGAUCUCUUCCUCUUCAUGUAUAUAGAACACAAUUGGACAAUAAAAAAACUCUAAUUAGUUUUUAAUGUUUAUAUUCUUACAAUUACGUUCAAGACAGAAAUUAAUCAAAUGUUGGUGCUGCAAAAAAAACUGACCUUUCUUUCUUGUUUGGUCGCUCGUCACUCAUCAGUGUGGCCGGCCGGCCGGAAUACGUCGGGCCGCAGGGGAGUGUGGUCGUCGGGGUCUCACUGUCUUAGGGACGGUUGGCAGAGGCCUACCCUUCUCAAUGGAACGGAUGGAUCCGUGGAGAUUAGAUAGAGGAUAGAGGCGGCCGGCGGCAGCGAGCACCUGAGUCCUGCGUGAGUUUUUCGAAUCGCAUCGCAAGAACGAGCAGAUUGAAAACAAAGCAAACAGGAGACUUGGUACACGCCGCUGCGGCGCUGCCUGUGCGUAGAUCGUGGUGUCCUGCGUAUUGUUGCGGCACUGUCUGUUUGGUCCUCUGGACUGUUUGUGUACGUACAGGGCUCUGGGCCUCUGCCUAUGGGACAUGGGGGGCGAGACAACUAAAAUUUUCUGCGUACGAAGAAAAAAUCGCUCGUAACUAAUCGCUAUCACGGGAUAGUGAGAUCGUUGGGGUGGUCUAGCCCCCUGCCCCCAUCCCUUAAAAUCGUCCCUGGUGGUGCCUCGAAGCUCACUCAUUGUGGUGUAAAGAUCCGGGCAAGCUUCGGUGUAUCCAAUUAAGUUGUGGAGAUUGCCCCGAGCAUUUGUGGUCACCUCGAAGCCAUAUGCCAUUGUGAUGAAGCUUCAUGGUGUUGUUGGGAUCCUCCAAUUAAGUUGUAGAGAUUGCCCCAACCUUGUUUGUACGGGUUCGGUGACCGCCCUCAAGGGUCCCUUAGUGGAAUCACGACAUCUUGCAUUGUGCGAGGGUGUGAGGAGAUUACGGUGGCCUUAGUGGCAUCUUGGGGAGCAUUGUGCCUCCACACCGCUCCAACUGAGAUUAGCAUCCGCUAGGGUGUGAACUUCGGGAUACAUCGUCGUCUUCGCGCCUCGGUUAUCUCUUACCCAAACCCUUUACUUAUGCACUUUACUUUGUGAUAGUCAUAUUGUUUCUUGUCAUAUAUCUUGCUAUCACUUAGUUGUUUAUCUUGCUUAGCAUAAGUUGUUGGUGCACAUAGGUGAUCCUAGUUGUUUUAGGUUUUGUGCUUGACAAAUUAAACGUUAGUUUUAUUCCGCAUUUGUUGAAGCCUAAACCGUAAUUAUUUUAAAGCACCUAUUCACCCCCCCCCUCUAGGUGACAUCCACGUCCUUUCAAUUGGUAUCACAGCUAGGUCUCUCUUUAUUAGGUUUAACCACCUAGAGAGUGAGGAUGUCGACUAGGGGUUUAGGAUUCUCUGACACUCUUAGUUUCGAUGACACAAAUUUUGAUGUUUGGGUAAUUCGCAUGCUUCAUCACUUUAGGGUCAUGGACCCAAAUUUGGAGUGAAUUGUAGAUAUGGGUUUUUGUCCUCCAAAGGAUUCUUAAAAUAUAUCUUUAGAGGAUGAGAAAAACUCUUAUCUCAAUGCUCAAGCUUCUAAUGUGCUUUUUGAUGCUUUGAGCAAUGUAGUUAUAUUUCAACUCAUGCCAUUCCGAGAUGCUCAUGAAUUGUGGACAAAGCUUCAAGAUAAAUAUGGUACAUCCAAGAUUUCUGGGAAUUAUUAUUGUCCCUGCACCUCCGGUCGUGUGGUCUUCUCAACUUCAUCUACUUCACCUACAUGUGGAUUUCCACAAGGUAAUGAUAUGGUGAGUAGUGGAGAUCAUUGCAAUGAUGAUAGUGGGAUUAUUGUUGAUGAUCCUUCAUCACUAUAUUAUUGCAAUGCUUCAUCUUUGGGCGUUAACACUUUGAGCACUCUAAAUGUUUUACAUGCUUGUGUUGAUAGUCCGUGCAUAUCAUGUAAAAACUGCUUGACUAAAUCUCAUGAUGAUAUGCUUUCUAUAUCUUUUUGCCUUGAUAAAAAUGUAUCUAUUUCCUCAAGUUGUUGUGCUACCAAUGUAGAGGAAAUCCAUCACUCCAUGGAACAAGAUGUGUCCUUAAAUCAUGCUUCAAGGGAUCCCAGAUCAUCAUCUAUUGUUUCUCACUUUUGCCUUAUGGCUAAGGCUUCAAAGGUAUCUCCUACUUUGAAUCCCAAUAUAUCUCAUGAUGAUGAUGUUGAUCAUAAUGAGGAUGAGGAUAAAGAUGAAGAGAGUUAUGAUAUUGGAUCCUUAAAAAUUAAGGGUGAAAUGAUUUUUAAAUCUCUUUAUAAGAAUAAACUUUCUUGUUCCAACUUCAUGGAAAUCGUGUCUAUUGCCACUCAGGGCUAGAAAUAUAUUGAGGAGUUCGAAGGUCAUCUCUAGGAGCAUGAGGCCAUCAUUGAGAGAAUGGAAGAUCAUGAGCAUGAUUACGCUAAUGAGAUCGCGAAGCUAUCUCAAGCUCUUGAAAAUGAACAAACCACCAAGGGAUCUCUUGAGGAGACCUUUGCUCUAGAAUUAUAUAGAUUAAAGGAAUCUCAUGAUAAAGCUCUCGAGGUGGCUAAUGAUUUUAGAACUAAAAAUGAUAAGCUUGAAGUUGCACAUGCUAAACUCCUUGAGGACUAUGAGCACCUUGAAAAUGGCUCAAGGGCUAUUAAGAGUUCGCUCAUCGAACUCACCGAGUCUCAUGCUCAACUUGAAGCGUCAUAUGCUAAAGAGCUUGCCAAGUUGCCUUCUCCUCUUACUGUUAAUAAUGAUGCUUGUGCUACUAACUCUAUUUCUUGUGAAGCAUCCAUUUUAAAGGAGAAUGUUGAGCUAAGGGCUUAACUUGAGCUGUUAUCUAGCAAUUAUGGGAAAUUGGAAGAAAGUCAUCUAAUGCUCACAAGCUCUCAUGAUGAUCUUCUAGUAUCCCAUAAUGUGCUAAAAUUAGCUCAUGAGGCUACUACUACCAAGGUAACAUCAAGUAAGCCUCAUGUGGACAUUAGCACUACUUCUAGUCAAAAUGCUAUAUUGCCAUGUGCUAGUCCUCGUAAUUCAUCUACUCAUAAUUUUGCUACAUCUUGUGAUGAAUUACUUUCCUUCCUUGUUGCUCUAACAAUGAAGCUUAUACUUCCUCUAGUACUUGUGUUUAUACUAACCAUGUAGAGGAAAUCGAAGAGCUCAAGGCCCAAGUCACUUCAUUGAAGAAAGCUUUGGAAAAGAGUCAAGAAGGGAUGUCCGCACUCAACAAUGUCUUGCAUGGGAAAAAUCCCCAAUUGACAAAGGUGGACUUGGGUUCAACUCUAACAAGAAGAACAAGUCCAAAAGCUUCAAGAAGAAGGGCCAAGAACAAGUCAAGAAUUCUGCCAAGAUUGUUUGCUUCAAGUGCAAAGUUGAAGGGUGCCAUGUUGGAUCUUACCCAUUAAAGAAGAAGCCCCAAAGUCACAAGCGACAAGGGAAGCGGCCACAAGUUCAAUCAUGUACUUAACUUCAAGUUGAAGAAAGGCCUCUUCCCAAGAAGACCCAAGCCAACAUUCCUGAAGUUGAGAAAUCAAUUGGGAAGAAAGUAAAGGGUAGAUGUUGCUACUUAUGUCGUGAGAAGGGUCAGUUUGUUUUUCUUGCACGAGAGGUAACUUAUCCAACCCAAUCAUUAUUGAUGAUAUCUAUUAACUUGGGAAGGAUAAGGUUGGAAAUGUGUUUGCCAAGUUUGUUGGUACUCAAAGUGGUGUCAAGAAAAGAACCAUUUGGGUAGCCAAUCCUAUUGUGACUAACCUCUUAAGACCCAACGUAAUUGGGGACCAACAAGCUCAAACUUGAUCAAUAGGUGAUCGUGGAGGACAUUGGAGACUUGGUUUCAUCUUGAAGAAUUAAGGGACCAUCAUAAUUCAUACUAUCUCAAGUCAAGUCAUUUGGAUUCUCGAGUUUCUAUCUUAUAUCCAAUGUGCCUCCUUACGGUAACUUGUACUUAAAUUGGUUACAUUGUUAGUUACUUUCCCCUUUGCAUAAUGUGGUUUUUUACCAUGCAUAUGUUUGUAUAUGUUGUGCUUCCAACUUACUUAUCUUGAGUAAUCAAGUAUGUGUACAUCAGUUUGCACAUCAUGUACAUGUGAGUCUUGUAUUGAGCCUCUUUGCAUCUUGUUUGUAUCUUUGGUGUCUCUUUCGAGAGAUUAAAGGAUUAUCCCAUUGUGGAGGAGGGAUGUGCUCUGUGCACCCCACAAUCAAAUAGAUGUGUAUACAUGAGUAAUACCACUUAGUAUUGAUAUUACAAGUUUAUCUAGUCUCUAGCUGGUAUGUCCUGCUCAUGAGAAAUUCAGAUUCUAAAUGGUCCAUUAAUUAUCUCUUGUUGAGUUUCAUUUGCCACUUGUUAAUAAUGUUAGGUUAUCACAUUAUGGGGGAGUAAUAUGCUAUGUGCAUAUUACAAGCCUAGAAAAUGUGUAUAUUUGAGGUAUUGCCACUUAGUGUUGAUAUUGUAAAUUAUCUUGUUCCUAGGUGGCAUGUUAGCUCUACAAGUGUCAUUUGCUUGCGUUUUAGGAGUAAAGAUGAUGUUGGAUAUUUUUUCAAUCUACCAAUGGAAAUUGUUUCCAAAUACUUCUUGUCCUUUGACAAUUGGUUUUCCCUUCAUGUGGUAGAAAUUUCUAAUCAUCUUUACAUUGGAUUUUAUGUAUCAUUUGUCUUCCUUGCCUCUUGCGGAUUGGUUUGAACACACUCUUUAUACGUCUAUCAUAAAAUCUUUUGAUCCCCAUCAAGUGUGUGUUGAUGGGAGGCAAGUCUUGCUCUUUAUGAUGCUUUGUUCCAUCAUGAAAAUUUGUAGAGGGUUUGGUUUGUUUGGAACCUAGCUCUUUUGGAAACUACAUACCUCGUGUUUGUUUUCCUUCAAUUGGUAUCUUGUUUCCUUUUGUCUGGCAUGUGUCAAUGGAUAUCAUUCUUUGAUGUAUCUUUUAAUUGGUAUCCUUCAACUGAUAAUUUUCCAUUUGGUAUUUUAUUUUCACUUGAUACCUUAUCUUUUGGUGUCUUAUGAACUACGUGUUGAUUUGAUUUUUGAAUACCUUGAGCAUGCAUAUUUACUAUAUACAUAUAGUUUAUUUUGCAUGCUUUCUUUCCUUGACCCGAUAUAUAGGGGAAACUCCACCUUGUCAUAAAUUGGCUAAAGUGUACAUGAAAUUCAAUUUCAUAUCUAUAUGCACAUAUUUAUGUGGAGUAUGUCCUAUGUAUGGUUAGUUUUCUAACUCUUUGGUCCCAAUGAGUUUGUGCACCAUUUUGUUUGUUUUUUUGUUCUAGGAACAAUUGGAGAGGCAUUGGAUGCUCGGCUCACCUAUAAGGAAGGUGUUUACACCAUGUGCUUAUUGGAGCCAAGUUAGGAUGAUCAACGAACAACUAUCUACUACAUCAAUCCAGUGCUAUCUCGCUAACAAGUAUCUACUUUAUGCAUACAAUUCUUGCAUUCAACCUUUCGUAGGUUGCAUCAUGGCAUGAAUUUCUUGAUUCAUUCCUGUGGUACUUGUUUCCUUCCUCAAAGCAUCUGAACGAUGAUGUCUUAUUGCUAUUUGGGAUGUAUUUUAUUUUAAUAAGUUGGAAGUUUAUAUUCUACAAUAAGAAAAUAUUAGGCCAUGUGUUCUGCUUUCAAGCAAAGAUCUUAUUGGUAUAUUUAUGACUUCCUUUUGGAUAUCUUGUUUGUUCCUUCUUGUAACCAUUUCGUGUGUACAUCUUUCUUUGUGGAUAUAUAUCAUCAUGAUUUUCUUCUACCUAGAAUCUUUUAUACAUGGGAGAAGUUACAUCUCUAGUUGAUAUCCUCUUUUCUUUCACGUCCAUCGUUGCAUUUCCUUUUUCAGUUUUUGGUGGCUUCGUGAAAGGAUUUGUCUUGAUUGUGGAUCUUUUAUCCUUGCAUCUUGAUGCACUCGUUGGUGGCGAAGAUUAUUUUUCCUCAUACCUCUCUUAACAAGGGUGUUUACAUUUUGGUUGGUAUCACUUCUCUUGACAAGGUUAUUAUUUCCUUUCUUCACCAUGGGUUGUCACAAGUGUCGGUCUUAAUUUGUUUAUUAGUAAGCUUGUGAACCUAUUUUCUAGUAGUGUGUGUGUGGGAAGGAUAUUUCUUGCACUUUGUUCUUAUUUCUUCAAGACUAUAUUGAUGAUUAAUGAUCAUCCUCACCUUAGUCUUCUCAAGUGUCUUGCCAUGACUCAGACACAUCAUUUUGGUUGAGCCUACUCUUAAGUUGACUCUUUUACAUGUUGCUCAACCAUAUGUUUUGUGCAAGUGAUAUACUUAUUGUCUCAUCUAUUUUCUCGCACUUGUUGUGUGAUUUUAUUAAUUCUGGGGGAGCAACGAUCCUAUUUUGUGCACUUGUAUCAAAUACAAAAAAAAUAUUAUUAGUGCACAAAUCAUGGGGAGCUUCUCUAGUUUUGAUAAAACACACUAUUGUCCUUAUCAUAAUAUCCUUUAUUCAUGUGGUUCGAUGGACCAUAUGAUUGCUUGUUCCUAUUGGUAUCUUUUGAUUGUGUGCUUUUCUCGUUUGUAUGUCUUUGUGACCUACCAUCCUUCUUGCAAUCUUUGGGUCCUCGAUAUAGUUCGUUUUCAUCCAACGUUUAUCAUUGCAUUUGUGUAUUUCUUUGCACUAUUGUUGAGAAGUACACACUUUUUGGAGGACCACCUACUAUAUUGGCUUUCUAAACUUUUUGUCCAUUUUGGCAAUCGAUGCCAAUGUGGGAGAAGUUUAGAGAGUUUAGUUUGGUGAUGCAUAGAGGGUUUUUCAUUUAUUGCUUAAGCAUUUACAUCUUGUACGUAUGCAUUAUAGCUUUGUAUGUGUGUGCUUGGUUAUGCUUAUUUCCUUAUAUAAACUCUCUUAUACUGAUUGUCAUCAAUUACGAAAAUGGGGGAGAUUGUUAGAGAAUAUUUAUCCAUAUGUGGUUUUGGUAAUUGAUGACAAUCCCUAUGGACUAAUGGUUGACUUAAGUUAUAUUCGAAGGAUUUGUCCAUCUGCACUUCUUGAAGUCCAUCUAUUGGUGUCAAGGAGUUUAUAUGAUGACCAAGGUGGUAUUCAAGGUAUUAUCCAAAUAUUGGUCAUAAAGACACAAGGUUUAUCAAGAAUAAGCAAAGAGUAAAUCAAUAUGAUCAACACACAAAGUGUACAAGAUGUACCGAGAGGGAUCAAGUGAUCCCAUGGUAUGGUAAGCAUUGUCCAUAACGGUUUUGUGUACUAACCCAUGGUCCUUGUGAGAGUUCUAUGUGGGGUUAGGUGUGUCUCCAUGGGUUUGCAUCAAGAGGAAGAUCUCAUUCAACCUAUGAAGGAUGACAUCAAGUGGUGUUCAUCAUCAAGAUUGCGGUGUGCAAGUUAAAGUGGAGCAUCACAAAGAUAUCAUGCUUGAAGCUUGUCGUUCAUUGUGGUGGUAAUGGACUUGUCAAGAUGUGCUGAAGAGUGGGUCACCCAUAGUGAGUAUGGGGGACCAAUCGACUAGUCUUCGUCAAACCAAGGCAAUCAAUAAAGGUGGUCCAUCUAGAGGAAGCCAAGAUCAUCAUCAUCUAGCUCAAGAGGACUAGGUGCAAGGUAUAGGUUUGUCCUAGAUAGGUUUUCUAUUUUAGGAUAGAUUGUUGUACUGUCAAGGGGGAUCUCAAGUGAGUAGCUUGAUCAUAUCUUUCGUUCAGAGAUCAAACCAUUUGCAUGCUUGCGUCAUAUUUCUUGGUUCUUGUUUGGUGUUUCUCUUUGUGAGUUUUAGAGCUUAUGGUCAUCUUCAUGACAAGCUUGAGUUCAUCGAAAACGGAGUCCAUAUGCAUCUUCUAUGAUCUUUUCGAUGUUGGAAGUUUUUGCCGGUUCUUCAUUCAUAGAGGUCUCACUUCUCUAUAUCAUUGACAUUUCCUAACUGCAUGUUCUUAAGAUUUUGUCGUUGUGAAUUCAACAAGCUUGAGUUUGCUCGAUUCGGAGUUUGUAUGCGAAAGUUAGAGCAGUUGAAGUAUCCAGCGGUAGUACCACUACUCGUGCCAACGGUAGUAAUUUUUUACUACCACUCUCGGGCGGUAGUACCGCUCCCUCGGAUGUUCUAGGAGCGGUAGUACCGCUCUGGGAAACAGUAGUACCGCUCCAGUCGGGCUGUAGUGGGGGUAACAGUUGGAUUCGUUCCCCCACUAUAUAAAGGAGGUCUUCUUCCCCAUUGGACCAUACCCAUCCGUUGAGCUCAUGUUCAUCCCCCAUUAUUGACCUUCUUAGAGCUUGCUAACUCUCAAUCCCUCCAAUGAUUCUUGCUAGUUCUUGAGGGAAAACAGAGAGGAGAUCUAGUUCCACAUCUCCACCAAUCACUUUCUCCUCUAUGUGAGGGGAACCCCUUGGAUCUUGAUCUUGGAGUUCUUUGUGAGCUCCUUGUUAUUCCUCUCAUAUUUCUCCAUAGCUUUUUUUGUUGUGGAGGUAUUUGAGUGUGAGGGACUUGACCACUUCAUGUGUUCUUGCCAUUGCAUUAGCUGCAUCGGUUUGAGUUCUCCACGGAGAUACGUGGAAGUGAGAAGUUUAGAAGCUUAUUACCCUUGGGUACUUGGUACCCCGAGAAGCUUAGUGGUGCCUCCGAGCUCAAUCAUUGUGGUGUAAAGCUCCAGGCAAGCUUCAGGGUAUCCAAUUAAGUUGUGGAGAUUUCCCCGAGCAUUUAUGGUCACCUUGAAGCCAUAUGCCAUUGUGGUGAAGCUUCGUGGUGUUGUUGGGAGCCUCCAAUUAAGUUGUGGAGAUUGCCCCAACCUUGUUUGUACAUAUUUGGUGACCGCCCUCAAGGGUCCCUUAGUGGAAUCACGACAUUUUGCAUUGUGCGAGGGCGUGAGGAGAUUACGGUGGCCUUAGUGGCAUCUUGGGGAGCAUUGUUCCUCCACACCGCUCCAACUGAUAUUAGCAUCCGCUAGGGUGUGAACUUCGGGAUACAUCCUCGUCUCUACGCCUCGGUUAUCUCUUACCCGAACCCUUUACUUAUGCACUUUACUUUGUGACAGCCAUAUUGUUUCUUGUCAUAUAUCUUGCUAUGACUUAGUUGUUCAUCUUGCUUAGCAUAAGUUGUUGGUGCACAUAGGUGAGCCUAGUUGUUUUAGGUUUUUUUCUUGACAAAUUAAACGUUAGUUUUAUUCCGCAUUUGUCCAAGCCUAAACCGUAAUUAUUUUAAAGCACCUAUUCAUCCCCCCCCCCUCUCUAGGCGACAUCCACGUCCUUUCAGUUUGCAAGGGUCUCAACAAGCAUAACCUUUUCAAUGGUAGGUUCCGGAGAAAUUACCACCUUGCCGAGACCCAAUACCUUUGAAAUCACGUCAUCACCAAAGGAGACGUGGGUGGCAAUGGAUGGGUCGGGAUGAAUGUCCACCACCAAGUCCUUUCUCCCGGUCAUAUGAUUUGUUGCUCCACUAUCAAGCAACCAUGAUACCCCACCGGAAGCAAACUCCUACAUAAGAUCAAUGCUUGGAUAUAGGUACCCAUUCUUUAAUGGGUCCGCUCAUGUUAGUAACAAGGGUCUUAGGAACCCAAAUAGACCAUGCAAUGUACUCAUCAUAAGAGCCAACAAACUUAGAAAAAACAUUUCCAUCAUUCGCACGUCACAACACAUAGGAGGGGUUAAAGUCGUUGGUUGUGUUGGGUAGAGGGGUAUUGCCCUUCACGGCAUUAUCACCCUUAGCUUGGUUCUUUUUCUUCCCAUGAGUAUCCUUCCCAAAUUUAACAAAUGUUUCCAUAAGAUGGGGAGGUUGCUUGGUCUUCUUCUUGUCGUUCUUCUUCUUGGUGUUGUGUGCAAACCCAACUCCUUCCUUUGCAACCACUUCCUUUUGACUGCUCAUAAGAUCAUUAAGAUUCUUUUCACCUUGGAUGCAUGUCACAAGGCCUUUCUCAAGCUGCUCUCUUAAUUUGGACUUCUCCUCCACAAGAUGUACAUGCUAACAGCAGGGGUUAGCAGCAUGGACACUAUCAAUUAAAACAAAUGGAGAUCAAGUGGAUAUUUCCUUAGUGAGUUUGACUUGAAGUUGAGCAUGAGACUCUUUUAAAGAGACAUGAGUACUCUUCAAGGCCUUGUGAGCCUUGUAAAGUGUUGCAAGCUCUUUCUUGAGUCUAACAUGAUCAAGUCCAGGUGCACUCUUUUCGGAUUGAAGCACACUAGUAAGAACAAGAGCAUGAUCAAGAUCUUUCUUUAACUUAGCAAGGUCAUCGUUAAAUGACUCCUCAAGAAUCAAAUGAAGUCCUUGCUCAUUUUCAAGAGCAAUGGAAAGAUCCGCAAUCUCAUUGCCAUAGUCACGACUAUGACCUUGUAGGGUAGAGAUGGUAUCUUCAUGAGAUUCAAUAAUGUCAUUGUCUUGAGUUGUUCUUGGAAAAGUUGGCCCUUGUGUUUCUCUUGCCCCAAAACUGCCUUGAUGCAAGAUCCAUAUGCUCAUGGUAAGCAUACUUGGUGUCUUCAGGACAAGAUUCUUCUUCGUCUUCCUCAUAUUCCUCUAAAGAAGCCUUGGCCUUGAAAGCAAGGUUGGGAGAGUCCUUUCUUGACUGUUGAACUCGAGCUAGAGCAUUGUCAGUAGUUUUGUUCAAAAUAUUCAUCGCAAUGAACUCAUCCAACACAUCACUUGAGUACAAGGAAUGAAAGUAUAGACUUUGAUGAAUGAAGGAGGACAUGGACUUGUUGAAAGGCAUGAUGGCCUUGAGAAACAUGUGCUUAAUCCAAGUGGCAUCCACAUCUUUGCUUCCAUGAUCUUGAAGAGCCACAUUAAGAGUUGUAACUCUCUGAUAGAGCUCACGAGGGUCAUCAUCCUCGAUCAUAGCAAAUUCAUCGGCCUCAUCGAGAACCACUUUAUAGUUGGACCUCUCAAUGCUAGAGCUUCCCUUGUACAUAGAGAUGAUGUGCUCCCAACAAUCUUUGGCACGAGUGAAGGGACGCAAGUGAGGAAGGUCUUCAACAGGUACAGCUUCUUGAAGAAUGAACAAGGCGGAGUGGUUGAUCUGAUUGCCUACCUCUUCUCUUGGCGUGAGAUUUCUUGGAUCAAGUGGGUAGUAUCCCUGCUCAAUGAUUCUCCAAAGUUGUGUUGAGCUGUGGUUCAAAUGAGACUUGAUACGAAAAACCCAGUUAGCAAAAUCACUCUUAACAAGCUUUGGUGGAGGAUCUAGAUUAAUAUUAUGCGGUGGGUGAACCAGUCCUCCAUAGAUCAAGAGAGGAGGAACACAGGUAAAGGCAUUAGCCCCGCUUGUUCCUUCAAGCAUUUUAUCCUUUUCACUACUAGCAUUUCCCAUUUUGGAAUAGCCUCCCGAAUCCAAAGAUGUAGGAUUCACCAGCAACAAUGGGUCGGUAGACGGCUUGUAAUUAUUAAGCAUGUUUUUGACUUUGAUAGCCAUAGAGGAUUUAAAUGUGGAUAUGACCUCAUUCAAUUCCAAUCGGGUGACCGAGUUUGCAGCAGCUCCCUCGGGCACCUCAUCAACCCGUUCCCUAUCGUCACCCAUACUCUUUGGGUGGUAAAACCCUUAAUAAAGAGACGGGGCUCCGAUACCAAUUGAAAGGAUCGAUAUGGUUGACUAGAGGGGGUGAAUGGGAAAUUAACAAAUUUUAAGCUUUUCUUUAAACAAAUUAGGUUUAGCAACAAAUAGGUUGUCCAGAUAUGCAACUAGGUGAGCAACAUAUAUGAUGCUAACAACAACAAUAAUAAGCAAAGAGUAAAUAGAAGUAAAGGUAAGAAAUAACCACAGGCGGAACCGAUGAAGACGAGGACGUGUUCCCGAAGUUCCUUCCCUUUGAAGGGAAGUACGUCUCCGUUGGACCGGUGUGGAGGCACAAUGCUCCCCAAUAUGCCACUAAGGCCACCGUAUUCUCCUCACACCCUCACACAAUGCGAGGUGUUGUAAUUCUACUAAGUGAUGCCCUUGAAGGUGGCAACCGGACCUUUACAACAAGGUUGGGGAUCUCUCCACAACUUAAUUGGAGGCUCCCAACAAAACCACGGAGCUUCACCAUAAUGGAAUGUGGCUCUGAGGUGACCUAUUUCGUCUAGGGUGCUCAAACACCCAAGAGUAACAAAAUCCACACAAGAACUUGGGGGAAUCAAUUUUACUUUGGUGGAAUGUAGAUCUAGGUCUCCUCCUUCAAUCCCUAGCAAGAUAACAAGUUUGGGUGGCUAGGGAGAGAGAUCGGGCAAGAAAGCUUCAGUGCAUCAAUGGAGGAGAGAGAGAGGUAAGAGAUAAAGGGGGGAGAAGAAAACCCCCCUUGUAUAGGCCCCCCAGAUUUCUAACCAUUACAACAAAAUUGCACUGGGCGGUACAACUAGUUGUGGGGACGGUACAACCGAUGUUUCUAUUUUAGCGGAACAUCCAGUCAACCACCGCCAUACAACUGGACCAAAACAGGAAGUUGGCCCAGAGGUGUCACCAGCCAUGGCUGCUGGGCGUGGCUAAGUCCCAAGUGGUGCAACCGCUUGGAACACCGGUAGUACUGACUAUAAUUAAUAUAGCGGUACAACCGGACCACCACUGCCCAACAACAGUAGUGAAACAGAACCGUGUCCGGUGGUGGACCGGUGUAGGACCGGUACAACUGCCCAUAGCACUGGUACAACCGGUGAGUAGAAAAAUUGGGGUUCCUCUCUCACAAUGAUGCGAUGGAACAUGAUGGGUGCACCCAUAGUAUGGGAUUCCUACGACCAAAGAGAAUAAACACGUAGGGAACACAUCUUUGAUCUUUUCCGUUUGGAGGGAAUGCCUAACCAUCUUGUGUCUUAACAAAUGAUACCUACAUACUUGACACCCGGUUAGAUAACAUAGUGAGUUUUCAUCAUCACCAAAACACUUAAGCAGGAGAAUGCCCUUACAAUAGUUUCAGACUAAGUGAAAAUAAUAGUUUUUAACAUAGUAGUUUUAUUAUGAAGGCAUAUUGACAGCAAAAAAAACAUAUGCUACAUGACAUAUAAUGGCAUGAAAAUUUACAGCAUGGUAGUAGGCAUGAUGCACUUCAUUUCAAUACAUUACGCCAACAUCAAAGGGGUUGUAGAACAAUAGAAAAUGACAUGGAAACAUAGCAACAAAAUAUAAGAGAUUCCACACUUAUAAUUAUUUUGACCCUACAAACAACAACAUUUUCAUGGCAUGUUCACAUGAUGGAACUACAGCUAAACAUGACAUACAUGGCAUGGAAAAUAUCCUAACAUCAAGAAGACAUGGCAAUAUACAACUUUCUCCAUUGCACACAUUCAAAAUAGGCAUGGAUUGCUUAAUACAAGCUUUGUAAAAUGGAACUUUACGAAAACAGAUUAGCAGUUUUAACAUGAUAUCACCACAUGGCCUUUGGGCCAGCGUGGUGGAGGGGCUCGGCUGGGCCUCCGCUGGGCAAGCUGGAGAUGACUGGAGGCCCAUGAGGGCAGUUAAUGUGGGGAAGUGGGCGCUAGACUACUUGAGCAUCGAAGCUCCCAAUAUGAUCUGGAUCGGGGCUCGCGUGGGAGGCAGCCGACGGGGAACAACAGCAUGGCCAUGGUGGGGUGAGGACGGAUAUGGCCGGCGGAACUCGGUCGCAACUCGAUCUGAGGGUGGCGGAGGCAGCUCCAUUUGGCAGCAAGGAUCGACGGGCGUCGCGAGGCGGCGAGCUGGGGGCUUGGGUUACAUCACAGUCGGUGGUUCUUAAGGCCACGGGCGCGACGUUGGGCACCUUCGGUGGCGACGCUGGGCACCGGCAGGCCAUGGUGCGACAAGGUUCCUCGGUGGUGGCGGUGUGACAGCAUGGCAGCAGGCCUGGCUGGGGGCUGAGGGAGCUCGGCUCCAUGACGGGAAGGCGCACGCAACAUGGCGUGGCUGUAGGGGGCUGCGGGCAGCGACGGGUGCGUCCAUCCGACAAUUUAACCGGCUAUAUCCUUUAUAUGUUUAACGGUCCGCAUAUCAAACUACCUCCGAAUGUGACGAAAUUUGGCACAUGGUCUACCUACUCUAUAUUAGGACCGCACGCCAACUAUUGACCCAUUCCAAGAAAGUUAUAUACACACUUUUAAAAACAAUAUUUUAGAAAUGUCGUCGGCGCGUGCAUGUGUAGUUGGUCACGAAACGGUCAAUGACAAGAAUGGAAAGAACAGAGAACUAACAACGGAUGCAAGUUUUGGAAAAUGAUGGCAACGGAGUGCCUAUGCAAUGUGAAUGAUCCGCAGGAUGCGAUGAUGAAUGCGAUAAUCAAAUAAAUCGCAUGGCAACAAUGGAAUAUAAAGGGAAUCUUCUGGAGCGUUUGGUCUCGGCUGUUACAACUCUCCUCCACUAACAGUAGAUCUCGACACGAGAUCUUAAAAUGAAAAGAGGAAGAGGAAGAGGAAAGGAAGAGGUAAAACUUAUUUCCUUCUUUGACAAACGAGUGAAACCAAGCUUCCUUGAAGGUUACAAUAGAUGAAGAAUGGAAGGAGGAACAAGCAAGAAUUCAAAAGAAAUUUGGGUGGCACUUCCUUAGGAAAGAGAAGCGAAACUUGAUAAGAUGGAAAAAAAUUGAAGAGAGAACACAACACUUCGGUUAAAUGGACAAGCAAGGAAAGAACAUGAUCUUGACAAAAUGAUAUGGUGAAUUGAAGAGCGCAACCAUCGGAACAAAAGAAUGAUCAAAACAAUGAAGGUUGAACAGAAUAAGAUUAUGACCUUCCAAGAUUUAGAUGGAACUUCGAGAAGAGAUGCUUGAGAAAAUCUUGAAAUUUCGGAAAGCAGAGAUAACAAUUUGGAAUCUAGAAUUUGAUAUCAUGAACAACUCCGAAAGAAGAAUUGAAAUCACUUUGAAGUAAUAAGAACAAGAAUUAUGUUAUGCUUAUUCUUCAUCAAGUUAAAUUGAUGACAAUCAUGAAUUUGGCACACCACUUGUUCUUCUUGACAACAUUGGAGAAUAUCUUGAACAUGAAGAACUCUUGGGAAAACCACCAGUUAGAACUUGAAACGAAUGAGGAUGCUACAAAUGAACGGGGAUACAUGAGAACGAAGAGAUCAUGAUCCACCUAGCAGGGAACUAGAAUGAAGCACCGGAAUAAUUGAGAGACGAACGAAGAGACAACAAUUGAGAAGAAUUGGAGAAUGAAAGAUAAAAGCUGAGAACAAAGAAAUCUUCUUAAAUGAUGGCCCUCAGAGGAUAAUGACAACAACUCUGAUAUGCACAGGAUAGAUAUGGAAGGAAAUACUCAUGAUCAAAAACAAUUUAAGAGUAUCACCAAAAUAUGAGAUGACAAAUCUUCAAAAGAAGGGAGAAAGAUUUAAGAGGAACUUUCAUCUUGUAUUUAAUGCACAGAAAGAUGGAAAGAAGCACCAUCAAAAAUUACUGAGACACUCCAAAACAAUGAAUAAGGAAAAAAGUUGAGCCAACCAUGAAAAUAAUUUGAAAACGAUCUUGAGAAGGAAUAUGACUGAUGCAAUCCAUACUUAUGUCUCACUUGAAAAGAAUUAUAGAUCUCCGGAAAACAUUAGAAGAUCCAAGUAAGACCCUCGGAAAAUGUAUGGGUUAUGGGACCACUCAAAGAGAACACCAUUGAAUCGAUUGAUUGGGAAGAUAGGGGAUGCACCGAUAUAAAUUAAACUUGAUGAGGUGAGACCCUCGAAAUAAUUUCAAAGUAUAGAAUGAAAACACGAAUCUUCAGAGACAUCUUUAGCACUCCAAAUAGAAUAGACAGGGACGAAAACUAAGAGAGGCUUGGAUGAGACUUUCUAACAUGGAAAAGCAUUUGGAUGAAAAGGAUAUGAUGAAGCUCAAAAUCUUGAAUUGAAUCCACGAGAGAAUAACACAGAGACGAAGAAAUGAUGAACUUAACACAUGAGCAUCUUCACAAUGAAUCACAAGAUACAACACAGAAGAGAACAUAACGAAAAAUUCAUUGAAAGGUAAGGCACUGGGAUGAUACUUAAUCAUUGAAUAAAAAGGGUGGGAGGGUGGGGAAAAACAAAGAAAACUUGGGAUAGAUGAGACGAACUCCGGAAAGAAAUAAGAGGGAUGAUCAUGCAAAUAUUGGAGAAGGUUGAAUUCACUUGAAGAGAAGCACUUCGGAUUGAAAAGAAUUGACAUGACCAUUUGAUUGAGAAAAAUAUAUUAGCACUCCCAUAGAAAUAUGAGAACACCACUUAGAAAAUAUAUAUAUCAUCACUUAACAUCGACGCAACUCGAAUUACCAUACUCCAACAAAACAAAGGAUGGGGCUUACGAAACAAGCUAGAAACAAAUUCAUGACAAGAUUUUGUUUGAUAUUUUUGCGGCAAGGCUCGCAUGGGCUCGAUCUUAUAGUAGCCAUCAUGUACAAGGUAGUGCACAUGACAUACGAAGCAUCCCGAGGUCAUAGCAAGCUACAAGGAGUUUUUAAUACACUACAAGAACCGCUGUAAGAAAGAUCGUGAACAAACGAACCACUAGAUGUCGAACCAUGAUGUCCCACAAGCGUAUGGGAUCGCAGCAGUUUUCGAGGGUAGAGUAUUCAACCCAAAUUUAUUGAUUCGCUCACAAGGGGAAGCUAAAGGAUAUUCUCAAGUAUUAGCAGCUCAGAUGUCAAUUCAACCACACCUGAAAGAUUAGUGUCUGCAAGCAAAGUAUGAGUAGCAAGGUAGUAUGAUAGCAACGGCACCAGAAAAAGCUUUGGCAAUUCCCAGCAAUGGCGCCAGAAAAAGGCACGUUGACGGGAGAUUAGUGCCAACAACGUCUUGCAACAAGUAACAGCAGAGUAUCAAGGAACAGUAGUAGCAGCAGCAGCAAGGUAACAAGUAACAAGAGUAGCAGCAACAGCAGCGAAGUAACAGCAGUAGCAAAGUGGCCCAAUCCCUCUUGUAGCAAGGGACAAGCCUAGGCGAAGUAACAUAGCGGGACCAGUAGUAAAAGACUCGUAGGAAGUGGAUCGGUGAUGGAUGAGUGUUACGGAUGUGAUUCAUCCUGUAACAGCUAUAACACAGAGAGAUAUGUGGCUAGNNNNNNNNNNNNNNNNNNNNNNNNNNNNNNNNNNNNNNNNNNNNNNNNNNNNNNNNNNNNNNNNNNNNNNNNNNNNNNNNNNNNNNNNNCUCAUCCAACUCAUCACCGUCCAGCAAGCCUACGAUGAGAUUACUCACGAACGAUGAAGAGCAUCAUGGAAUUGUCGAUGGAGAAAGGUUGAUGAUGACGAUGGCGACGAUUUCCCCUCUCUGGAGCCCGAAACGGACUCCAGAUCUGCCCUCCAGAUGAAGAACAUGAUGUGGCGGCGCCUCCGUAUCGCAAAAUGCGAUGAAACCUUCUCUCUGAUUUUUUUUCCUGGCGAAACGGAAGAUAUAGGACUGAGAUUGGGGGCGGUGGUGCCACAUGGGCCCCACAAGUCUGCAUGGCGCGACCUAGGGGGUGGCCGCGCCGUGUGGGCUUGUGGCCCACUGGCACACCCCCUCACGUGGAUCUUUGCACGGGUAUUUUUGUUUUAUUCCAGAAAAAAUCUCCGUAAAUUUUCAAGACAUUUCGAGAACUUUCAUUUCUGCACAAAAACAACACCAUGCCAAUUCUGCUGAAAACAGUGUCAGCCCGGGUUUGUUCCAUUCAAAUCAUGCAAAUUAGAAUCCAAAACAAGGGCAAAAGAGUUCGGAAAAGUAGAUACGACGGAGACAUAUCAACUCCCCCAAGCUUAAACCUUGCUUGUCCUCAAGCAACUCAGUUGACAAACUGAGAGAGACAAAAGAAAAACUUUGACGAACUCUGUUUGAUCUUGUUGUUGCAACUAUGUCUAACUCACAACGAGAAUUUCAGCAACAUCACAAGGAAACCACAAAAGCAAAUGACAUCUAGGUCUCCCGGUAAACUCAUAUCAAUGGCAUAAUCAACUAGCGAGCAAAUAAUAAUAAGCCUCAAGUGUCAACACUUCAAUCAAAACAACAUGAAGCAGUGCGAAUAGAUGGUAUCUCGCUAGCUCUUUCUGAGACUGCAAAACAAAAAUGCAGAGCACCUUAAAAGACCAAGGGUUGACUAAACAUUGUAAUUCAAGGCAAUGAAGAUCCAGUCAUAGUCACACUCAACACAGUUAAAAGCAAAGCAUAAAAAUGACAGAGAUGCUCUCUAAUUGGUGCUUUGUAAGAGGAGGAUAACUCAAUAGGAACAUAAAUAGACAUGCCCUUCGCAGAGGGAAGCAUUGAUUUGCAGAGGUGCCAGAGCUCAAGCUUUUAAAACAGAGAUAAUAAUUUUGGGUGGCAUGCUUUCAUUGUCAACGCAAUGACUAAGAGUUCUCAAUAUCUUCCACGCUACACAUACUAUAGGCGGUUCCCAAACAAAAAAGUAAAGUUUUGACUCCCCCACCACCAAUCAAUCACACUCCACGGCUAGCCGAAUCAUCACGUACCGUCCAAACCAACAUCAAUCCUGGGGGAGUUUUGUUUGCAAUUAUUUUUUCGAUUUGAGCAUGGAACUGGGAAUUCCAAUUACCGGCCCCUUUCUCGUGAAUGAUAGUGAAUAAACACAUAUCGAGGAUAACACGCCUAGCAUGGAAGAUACCAAUAGCCCCCUGUCACCACAUGAGCGAUUCGGGCAUGCAAAACAGAUUAUUUCUUGAAGAUUUAAGAUAGUGGCACAUGCAAAUAUACUUGGAACGACAGGUAGAUACCGCACAUAGGUAGGUAUGGUGGACUCAUAUGGCACAACUUUGGGUUUAUGGAGGUGGAUGCACAAGCAGUAUUCCCGCUUAGUACAAGUGAAGGCUAGCAAAAGACUGGGAAGCGACCAACUAGAGAGCGACGACAGUCAUCAAAAUGCAUUGAGAUUAACUAACAUUGAGUGCAAGCAUGAGUAGGACAUAAAUCACCAUGAACAUGAACAUCAUAGAGGCUAUGUUGAUUUUGUUUCAACUACAUGUGUGAACAUGCGCCAAGUCAAGCCACUUGAAACAUUCAAAGGAGGAUACCAUCCUAUCAUACUACAUCAUAGUCAUCUCAACAUUCAUGUGGGCAACCAAGACAAACCAUUAUAAGCUCCUAGUUAAGUAAGCAUGGCAUAAGCAACUAUGAUAUCUAAGUUGUCAUUGCAAACAUGUUUCUCUCACAACAAAGCUGAAUCAAGCAUGAUGAGCUAGUCAUAUUUACAAAAACAAAAUAGAUCGAGUUCAUACCAGCUUUUCCAGGCUCAGUCACUUCAUAAUAUAUCGUCAUUAUUGCCGUUCACUUGCACAACCGAACGAUGUGAACAAUAAUAAGCGUGCUCGUGCAUUGGACUAUGCUGGAAUCUGCAGGCAAACACAAAGGAGAAGACAAAGUAAUAUGGCUCUUUGAAAGCUAAACAGGUAUGCAUGCUAGAGCCACUAAACAUUGUAACCAAUAUCAUCUACCUUGACCCAAAGAAAAAAGAAAACUAUCUACACGGGAAAGCUCCCAACAAGCAAAAGAAGAAAAAGAAAAUAUUUUUGGGUUUUCUCAAACUAGACAGACACACGAAAAGAAAACGAGAAAAAGAAAAUAAACUAGCAUGGAUGAUACAGUGGCAAAGUGUGAACACCAGCUAACAAAGUGAAAGCAUAAGAAAGAAUGUAAAGUCGGUGAGAACACAUACUCCCCAAGCUUAGGCUUUUGGCCUAACUUGGUGUACUCCCAAGGACGGUCCUCGCGAAACCCAAAAUCAUAAUCGGGGUUAUACGGGAGCGCUGCAGCCACUGCCCGAAUAGCUGCCUCACGGAGACGAGCAGCCGUCGCCUGCCUCUCAUACUCCUCUGCCUCUCCUCUGGUUAUGUAAUAUCUCUGUUUUACCUGAAAGUCAAAGAGAGCAGGAGCAGGAAGGGUAAUAUGGAAAACACGCUGCCGAUUAAAUAUCAAACGGUAUAGGAGGGAUUCGUCAUCCCUCUCAAGAAACUGGUAGCGUGUCAUAGCGACGCGAUCAAGGAAAGCUGUAUGGAGUGGGGGAUCUCCUGCGUGGAUGGGUACUCCAAGAAAAUUUGCUAUGCGAGUGGCAUAGAUCCCACCAAAGAAAUCCCCAUCAAUAGCAUUCUUAUUCAGCCUCCUUGCUAUAAUAGCUCCCAUGUUGAAGCUUUUGUCACCCGUCACUGCGCUCUUAAGGAUACUAAGGUCGGGUGCACAGAGGUGACAAUGCUCAAUCUUUCCCUUAAUGCAUCUGCCUAUGAAGAGGGCAAAGUAAUGCAAGGCAGGAAAAUGAAUACUCCCCAUGGUAGCUUGCGUAAUGUCUCUAGUUUCUCCAACCAUAAUACCAGCUCAAAAAUCUCUAACCGAAUAUUUAGGAGGAUCAUUGAGGUUACCCCAAAUAGGUACUUUGCAAAUUCUACAGAAAUCCUCUAAAUCCAUGGUAUAUGAUUUAUCAUAGAGAUCAAACAGUACCGAUGGCUCACGGCGAGCUGAAAAUUUGAAUCUACGAACAAAAGAAGCAGUGAGAGUAGCAUACUCUUCACAUUUAUCGGAGAUGAAUUCCUCGAGUCCGACAUUGCGAACAAAUGCAUCAAACUCAUCUUUGAAACCUGCCUCAAUCAUAAAUUCAUCAGAAGGCCAUUCGCAUGGUUGUACCUGCGCGACCCUAGGUUGGUAAGGAUCAGGCUCCCGAAUCGCGAGACGGGGACCUCUCUUGCUUGAGGAACCACCAUGAUAGUUUCUCCUGAACAUCUUCCUUUUCUGAAAUUUUCAGUGACCCAAAGGAAAGGUGAACAAGGUUCAACUAAACUUGUAGCAACUACUCCCACAAGUCCGUAGAGGCCAUAUUACGCAUCAAAACUACUUGGGACCAGCUGGAAUCAGCAUGCAAAGCUCUAGAACAUGGUCACCAAGGCAGCAAAAAUACGCGGAGUAUAAGGCACUAGAGCAAAAACUAACUUGACCAAUGGAGGAGUCACUUACAAAGGAGUAUUUUCCCCAAAACAGUUCGAAGAACGGUGAUUUGAGCAAAGAGAUCGAAAAUCCCAGCAAGAGGAGCAAGAACACGGGUUUGAGCUGUGAAACGAAUUUUUCUGGAGGUAGGAGAACUGGAUGGAAGCACGAAUGAGUGGAGGGGGUGCCUGUGGGCCCCACAAGCCUGGGUGGCGCGGCCAGGGGGGUGCCCGUGCCCCUAGGGCUUGUGGCCCACUAGUGUGCCCCCCAGACAGACUCUUUGUCCCAGUAUUUUUAAAUAUUCCAGAAAAAAUCAUACUAGAUUUUCACGGCGUUCGCAGAACUUUUAUUUUCGGGGUACUUUUCUACCGGACGCUAAAACAGAAAACAGGGAAAACUAAACUAAAUCUAUCAUUUUUCUUCUAAGCAACCUAAAGUGAAAGCUUGGAACAGAGGUUUGUGACUCCUCGAUUCAUCCAUCUCAUGGUCAUCGAAAGAAAUCUGUCAAUGGGGUUGAUCAAAUCCCCUCGACAAAACUUCUUGAAUCGCAAAAGAGAGAACAAAGAAUUUUUGAAUAGUCACUAGGUCACCUCAAUGGGGAUGUGUAUCUCCCCAACAAGCAAAUCAUACUUCAUCUUGACAUGAGGAAUAGGGCAUUCAAAGCUCCCAAUAAGAAUCGAUGAAGUUUUUUCGAUAGCAUUGAUGCAAUGUACUCAAUAUUGUUUCUUCGGAAAGUGCACCGUAUGCUCAUUACCGUUGACAUGGAAAGUGACAUUGCCUUUGUUGCAAUCUAUAACAGCCCCUGUGGAGUUUAAAAAGGGUCUUCCGAGGAUGACAACCAUGGCAUCGUCCUCGGGAAUAUCCAAGAUAACAAAAUCUGUUAAGAUAGUGGUAUUAGCAACCACAACAGGCACAUCCUCGCAAAUGCCGAUAGGGAAAGCAGUUGAUUUGUCGGCCAUUUGCAGAGAGAUUUCAGUGGGUGUCAACUUAUCCAGCUCAAGUCUACGAUAAAGAGAGCGCGGCAUAAAACUAACACCGGCUCCAAGGUCGCAUAACGCAGUUCUAACGCCGUUGCCUUUAAUGGAGCAAGGUAUAGUGGGCACACCGGAAUCACCUAGUUUCUUAGGAGUUCCACCCUUGAAAGUGUAAUUAGCAAGCAUGGCGGAGAUCUCAAGAUCAGGUAUCCUCCUCUUAUUAGUCACAAUAUCUUUCAUGUACUUAGCAUACGGAGACAUUUUGAGCAUAUCUGUCAAACGCAUCUGCAGAAAGACAGGUCUGAUCAUUUCAAUGAAGCACUCAAAAUCCUCAUCAUCCUUUUUCUUGGAUGGUUUGGGAGGAAAGGGCAUAGGUUUCUGAACCCAUGGUUCCCUUUCUUUACCAUGCUUCCUAGCAGCGAAGUCAUCCUUAUCGUAUCUUCUAGUCUUAGGUUGUGGGUUAUCAAGAUCAACACUAGGUUCAAUCUCCACAUCCUUUUCAUUGCUAGGCUGAGCAUCUUCAUGAACAUCACUAUUGAUAUUAUCAUUAGGGACAUGUUCAUCACCAAAAUAGUGUUUCAGCAUCAGAGAUAGAGGCAUCGUUUGGACUCUCAGGGGUAGUAGCAACAGGGUUGCUAGCGUGCAGGUUCCUAUCAUCUCUCUUCUUCUUUCUAGGAUGACUAGGUGCAUCAGUGCUAACUCCUUGAGACUCUUGUUCAACUCUCUUCGGAUGACCCUCAAGAUACAGAGGUCCUGGGUUAUUCUACCGCCUCUAGUGACGACUCUGACAGAAUUGUCAUUCAACUCAUAGAGCAAGUCAUUCUGAGCUUUAAGUACUUGUUCUACCUGAGUAGUAACCAUAGAGGCAUGUUUACUCAGAAGCUUAAGAUCAUUGACAUUUCUGUCCACACAAGCACUUAAAUGACUGAGCAUACGAGCAUUCUGUUCCAAUUUUCUGCUAACAUAAUCAUUGAAACUUUGUUGUUUGGCAACGAAGUUAUCAAAUUCAUCCAUGCAUAAGCUAGAGGUUUAUCAAAAGGAAUAUCACUCUCAUCAAACCUAAACAGAGGAUUUACUUCUACUACAUGUAUCGGGUUAUCGAGACCAUGGAUCUCUUCGAUAGGUGGUAGAUUUUUGACAUCUUCAGAUUUAAUGCCUUUCUCUCGCAUAGAUUUCUUGGCUUCUUGCAUAUCUUCAGGACUAAGGAAUAGAAUACCUCUUUUCUUCGGAGUUGGCUUAGGAGGUUGUUCGGGAAUAGUCCAAGCAUUCUCAUUGCACAAGAUGUUAUUCAAUAGAAUCUCAGCUUGUUCUACAGUUUGUUCCCUAAAAACACUACCGGCACAACUAUCUAGGUGGUCUUUAGAAGCAUCAGUAAGUCCAUUAUAGAAGAUAUCAAGUAUCUCAUUCUUCUCAAGAGGGUGAUCAGGCAAAGCAUUCAGUAGCUGGAUAAGCCUCCCCCAAGCUUGUGGGAGACUCUCUUCUUCAGCUUGAGCAAAGUUGUAUAUUUCCUGCAAGGCAACUUGCUUCUUAUGGGCAAGGAAAUAUUUCUCAGAGAAGUAGUAGACCAUAUCGUGGGGGCUACGCACACAACCAGGAGCAAGAGAAGUGAACCAGGUCUUAGCAUCAUCCUUUAGCGAGAAAGGAAACCGCUUGAGCAUAUAGUAGUGGCGGAUCUUUUCCUCACUAGUGAAUAGGGUGGCUAUAGCGUGUAGUUUGGUAAGAUGGGCUAUAACCGUUUUAGACUCAUAACCGUGAAAGGGAUCAGAUUCGACGAGAGUGAUUAACUCAGGGUCGACAGAGAAUUCAUAAUCCUUAUCGGUCACAAAGAUAGGUGAAGCGGCAAACUUCGGGUCGUAUUUCAUCCUAGCGUUCACAAAUUUUUCUUUCCACUUGCGCAGAAGUUUCUCAACAUCAUAGCUAUCCUUACACGCAAGAAAGUCCUCAGCUAUCUCUCCCUCCAUAACAUAGCGCGUAUCAGGCAUAACAAGCAAUUCAGGCAUAGUAGCAGGUUCUACUUCAAUAGUAUCAGCAGUUUCAGAAGCAUCAUCACAUCUAGCGGCAACUCUAGCAAUAUGUGCAUCAAGGAAUGCACCAAGUGGCAAAGCAGUAUCAGGCAUAGCAGGCAUAGUAUCAAGCAUAGCAUCAUCAGACAUAGUAUCAAGCAUAGCAUCAUAAGCAUCAUGGACAGCAGAAGUAGCAUCAUCAAGCACAUGUGACAUAUCAAGAUUUCAAGCAGGAGGUGAAGUCGCAUACUUACUCAGAACUGAAGGUGAAUCAAGUGCAGAGCUAGAUGGCAGUUCCUUACCUCUCCUCGUAGUGGAAGGUAGGAUUUUAGUUCUUGGAUCUUUCCGAUUCCUCAUAGUGAUCAGCAGACGUCAAUCCCAAGUGACUCAGAGAAUAUAGUUGUGCCUCCCCGACAACGGCGCCAGAAAAAGCCUUGAUGUCCCACAAGCGUAUGGGAUCGCAGCAGUUUUUGAGGGUAGAGUAUUCAACCCAAAUUUAUUGAUUCGCUCACAAUGGGAAGCUAAAGGAUAUUCUCAAGUAUUAGCACCCGAGUUGUCAAUUCAACCACACCGUAAAUAUUAGUGUCUGCAAGCAAAGUAUCAGUAGCAAGGUAGUAUGAUAGCAACUACACCAGAAAAAUCUUUGGCAAUUCCCAGCAAUGGCGCCAUAAAAAGGCACGUUGACGGGAGAUUAGUGCCAACAAAGUCUUGCAACAAGUAACAGCGGAGUAGCAAGGAACAGUAGUAGCAGCAGCAGCAAAGUAACAAGUAACAGCAGUAGCAAAGUGGCCCAAUCCCUCUUGUAGCAAGGGACAAGCCUAGGCGAAGUAACGUAGCGGGACUAGUAGUAAAAGACUCGUAGGCAGUGGAUCGGUGAUGGAUGAGUGUUACGGAUGUGAUUCAUCAUGUAACAGCUAUAACACGGAGAGAUAUGUGGCUAGNNNNNNNNNNNNNNNNNNNNNNNNNNNNNNNNNNNNNNNNNNNNNNNNNNNNNNNNNNNNNNNNNNNNNNNNNNNNNNNCUCAUCCAACUCAUCACUGUCCAGCAAGCCUAUGAUGAGAUUACUCACGAACGAUGAAGAACAUCAUGGAAUUGUCGAUGGAGAAAGGUUGAUGAUGACGAUGGCGACGAUUUCCCCUCUCCGGAGCCCGAAACAGACUCCAGAUCUGCCCUCCAGAUGAAGAACAGGAUGUGGCGGCGCCUCCGUAUCGUAAAACGCGAUGAAACCUUCUCUCUGAUUUUUUUCCAGGCGAAACGGAAGAUAUAGGACUGAGAUUGGGGGCGGUGGUGCCACGUGGGCCCCACAAGCCUGCAUGGCGCGGCCUAGGGGGUGGCCGCGCCAUGUGGGCUUGUGGCCCACUGGCACACCCCCUCACAUGGAUCUUUGCGCAGGUGUUUUUCUUUUAUUCCAGAAAAAAUCUCCGUAAAUUUUCAGGAUGUUCCGAGAACUUUCAUUUCUGCACAAAAACAACACCAUGGCAAUUCUGCUGAAAACAGCGUUAGUCCGGGUUAGUUCCAUUCAAAUCAUGCAAAUUAGAGUCCAAAACAAGGGCAAAAUAGUUCGGAAAAGUAGAUACAACGGAGACGUAUCAAACCACAACCUCACAUCAUGCAUUCGUGGGAAGAUAUCCUAGGUAACUACUUGAAUUUCGACCUAAGAAAUCCCAAAAUAUUUUGAUUACACAAUUGGGUCCACGGAUACAAGGAGCAAAACCUCGCACAACUCCUAACAUGAGUAACACAUCCAUCAACACAUAACCAGAGGUCUCGGAAGCUCAUCUACCUCAGACCCACGUAAUCACAAUGAUGCUCAUUAUGGCAGUACAUCUAGACGCUCUCCCCAAUAAUGGGUGACCCCAAAUUCCUCUUGCCACAAUUUGUACUAAAGCAAUUCCGGACAUCCUCCAUCCUGAGAUACUAAGGAAACCGAACGAUAACGAUGUGUCAAGAAUCCCCUGGAGCUCUACUACUCAGGAAUAGGAGGCACCAAGUACAAACCUCUGUCACAUCGGCAUCAUAGAGAUUCCAAAAUACCCAUGUGAUCCCAAAAUAGUUUGAGUGAGAAGAGGAUAGAAUUAAAAUUCCUACGUUCAGAUUCCUCACGAGAGCAUAGAACACGAGUAAAAAGAAUCCCACUCUCCGAUAUAUAACUAGGUUCAAAGUAGUUUUAACUAGACUCGACUCGGUCAAGUUCAAUCAAUCAAGGGGGCUCCUAGGUCGGUACUGUUCUGAUACCAACUUGUAAUGCCAAGGAUGCGAUCCUAUCCUUAUUUUGGCACGAGGCCCUCGACAGGGAUAGAAGUGCAUCUUGUCGUUUCACAAGAAUGGAUAUCAUUACAAGAACAUGUAAAGAAGAGAUGAGUAUAUGGAAUUGGCUUACACUCGCCACAAGCUACAUCAUGAAUAUCACAAUAUAGCAAUACAUUCGGUCACCAUGUAAAAGAGCAAGGACCGACUACGGACAAAAUCAAACGAUAAAAACGACGUCCAUCCUUGCUAUCCCAGGCUACCGGCCUUGAACCCAUCCUAUGAUCGAUGAACAGGAAGAAGAAACUCCAAAUAGAACAAUCAUCGCGCUCACGUCAAAAUAUCGCUUUACCUAUACCUGGAACUGUUGUUGUAGUAAUCUGUGAGCCACACGGACUCAACAAUCUCAUUUCCAAAGGUAUCAAGACAAGCGAAUCCUAAUGGGUGAGGUAUAGUUAAGUGGUGAGGCCGCAACAAACACUAAGCAUUUAUUUCAGUGAAUAACUUAUAAGUACAAGAACAAGAGCGGGGUUGAUCUACAAAUAAAAGGACGUUAAAUAAUAAUAAUAAUCAAGAAGUGAUCCUGGACACCUACAAACGAUCAAACAUAACCCCACCGUGUCUUCUCUCGGAUUCAAAACACAUGAGUAGAUACAGUCAUGGUUACACACAUAGUUGGCAUUUUAAUUGAUUUUACUUUGACCAAGUGUUAAACAAAGUUUUCAAGUUGCCAGAUAACUGCGGGUGAAAGUACGUGGAUGUCGCCUAGAGGGGGUGAAUAUGCGCUUUAAAACAAUUAUGAUUUAGGCUUGCACAAAUGCGGAAUAAAACUAACGUUUAAUUUGUCAAGCACAAAACCUAAAACAACUAGGCUCACCUAUGUGCACCAAUGACUUAUGCUAAGCAAGAUAAAGAACUAAGUGAUAGCAAUAUAUAUAACUAGAAACAAUACGGCUAUCACAAAGUAAAGUGCAUAAGUAAAGGGCUCAGGUAAGAUAUAACCAAGGCACACACAGACGAUGAUGUAUCCCGAAGUUCACACCCUUGCGGAUGCUAAUAUCCGUUUGGAGCAGUGUGGAGGUACAAUGCUCCCCAAGAUGACACUAAGGCCACCAUAAUCUUCUCACGCCCUCGCACAAUGCAAGAUGUCGUAAUUCCACUAAGGUAACCUUGAGGGCGGUCACCGAACCCGUACAAACAAGGUUGGGGCAAUCUACACAACUUAAUUGGAGGCUCCCAACAACACCACGAAGCUUCACCACAAUGGAAUAUGGCUUCAAGGUAACCUCAAAUGCUCGGGGAAAUCUCCACAUCCUAAUUGGAGACCCCGAAGCUUGCCCGGAGCUUUACACCACAAUGAUUGAGCUCCGAGGCACCACCAAGCUUCUAGGAUGCCAAAGCAUCCAAGAAGAACAAGUAUUAGGGUACCAAGCACCCAAGAGUAUAAAGCUUCUCAAACUUCACUUCCUCGUAUCACCGUGGAGAACUCAAACCUAUGCACCAAAUGCAAUGGGAAGGGCACAUAGAGUCCCCAAGUCCUUCUCUCCUAAAUCCCUCCACAACAACUAAUGCUACAGAAGAAAAUGAGAGGAAGAACAGAGAAGAAAACGAAUAACUUCAUGAUCUAGAUCCGAGGGGUUCCCCUCACAAAGAGGAGAAAGUGAUUGGUGGAAAUAUGGAUCUAGAUCUCCUCUCUCUUUUCCCUCAAGAACUAGCAAUACUAAUUGGAGGAAUUGACAGUUACCAAGCUCAAAGAAGGUCAACAAUGGGGGCAAAAACGAGCUCAAGAGUUGGGGAACCAUUGGGGAAGAAGACCCCCUUAAAUAGGUUUCCACAAAUCUGCCUGCUAUGUGUAGAAUUACAUAGGAGCGGUACAACAAGUGAUGCGGGCGGUACAACCGGCAUGACCGGUACAACCGCCCAACCACCACGCAACCAUCGGACCACAAUAGAACGUGGCCAAUGGUUCCACCGCAGUGCAACCGCUCAACUCGAGCACUGGACACGGUAAAGUCCCAAGCAGUAUAAUCGUCUGGAACACCGGUAGUACCGGGCUAUAUAAAAUAGCAGUACAACCGAUCCACGUUCGCCCAACAACCAGAGCUCAACAGAACUGUGUCUGGUUGAAGCUCAAUGCUGGGCCAGGUUCAACCGCCCAGGACUGCCAACGUGGGUCAUCCAGCUAUGGGUUGUACAACCGCCCGGGGGCAAUGGUACAACUGCUCGGGACCAAUCAAUGGCAGCACCCCAAGUGUAUCACCCCUGGAGUGGUGGUUACAACAGAUGACACGAGCGAGUGGUACAAUCGCUAGGGUUAGUGGUACAACCGUAUCAAGAAAAUAGGUGAGACCACAACUCCCAUAACUUUUGCAAAUGAGCUCCAAAUUGAGCAAACUCAAGCUUGUUGGAUUCAGGAGUGCCAUAACUUAAUAAGAAGAGGCACUUAUGAAAAUGCCAAUGAUAUAGAGAUGUGAAACCUCUAUGAAUGAAUAACUGGCAAAAACUCCAACAUCGAAAGCAUCAUCAAAGAUGCAUAUGGGCACUUUUUUAUGAACUCGAGCUUGUCAUGAAGAUGGCCAUAAGCUCUACAACACACAAAGAGAACCACCAAACAAGAACCAAGAAAGAUGAUGAAAGGAUGCAAAUGGUUUGAGCUCUCAAUGAACGAUACGAUCAAGCUACUCACUUGAGAUCCCCCCUUGACAAUACAACAAUCUAUCCUAAAAUAGAAAAACCUAUCAAGGGCAAGCCUAUACCUUGCACAUAGUCCGCUUGAGCUAGAUGAUGACGAUCUUAACUUCCUCAAGAUGGACUACCUUUCUUGAUGGCGUUGGAUCGAUGAAGACUAGAUGAUUGCUCCCCCAUACUCCACUAUGGGUGAGCCACUCUUAAGCACAUCUUCAUAAGUCCACUGCCACCACAAUGACGGCAAGCUUCAAGCAUGAUAUCUUCAUGAUGCUCCACUUGAACUUGCACACCGCAAUCUUGAUGACUAUCACCACUUGAUGUCAUCCUUCAUGGGUUGUACGAGAUCUUCCUCUUGACGCACACCCAUGGAAACACACCUAACCCCACAUAGAACUCUCACGAAGACCAUGGGUUAGUACACAAGCGUAAUGGACAAUUCUUACCAUCCCAUGGGAUCGCUUGAUCCCUCUCGGUACAUCUUGUACGCUUUGUGUGUUGAGAAACUUGAUUGAUAUUUGACUUAGUCUUGAUCAACCUUGUGUCUUUAUGACCAAUCUUUGGAUAAAGCCUUGAAUACAACCUUGGUCAUCAUAUAAAAUCCUUGAAACCAACAGAUGGACUUCAAGAAGUACCAAUGGACAAAUUCUACAAAUCUAACUUAAGGCAACCAUUAGUCCAUAGGAAUUUUCAUCAAUUACCAAAACCACAUAUGGAUAAAUAUGCUCUAACAGCAGGCACGACUCUCAGAAAGAUUUAACCCUGCAUGGUUGCUCCAACUCAUCCAUCACAAACUAGCCACAAGCUGCAUGGAAAACCUCAACCACGGAAAACUCGUAGUCUCCUCGGAAUCUCGGUGGAAGACCUCGGCCACUAGAUAGCCCAAAGUAUCCUCGAAAUCCCGGUGCACAAGAUAUUUUGUAAAAGGUAAAACAGAUCCAGCAAGGUCAUUCGGCAUGCCGACAAACUCGAUAGGAGACCCGUAUCUCGUUCUCAGGGCACGACCGGAUGAGCUUGACAUCGGGUUGGCUGAGACCCCGAGAGACCAGGGGGCGCCGGACAUCGCUCAGUUUCAACAACACUCAUGAGAGCACUGGCCUGGGUUGUUGAUUAAUUAUCCAUGGGUUAAUUACUCGCUAUGCGGGUUCAUUAAUUAUUAGGCAAAUGUAGUACCAAAGUUCGGCCCUGCCGGAAGAGUUUUAAACUAAAACGAAUUAUGUAGGGGUUCCCCAUAACAACCCCAACCAUGUUAGAAGCACUCAAUAUGGAACAUAACACCGAUAAACAAGUAACUAGGGCGGUAAAUGUGGAACAAAACACCGAGCAAAAGGAAACAACCUACAUCUGCAACUAGCAACGCUAUAAGAAUGGCUGAGCAACCGGUAACAUAGCCAAACAAAGGUUUGCUGGGAUUUGGAGGGGGGUAGAGGCUUUUCAUGGCAAUGUUGGGAGUCUUGACAAUCAAGUGGUAGGUAAAGAGACAUAACGAUAAAAGCGAGGCAACUAGCAUAGCAAUGAUAGUAAUGGUAUCUAGGGAAAUGAUCAUCUUGCCUAAUACCCGCUUGGAAGAAGAAUGAAUCCGUGAAGUAGACGAACCAAUGUAGAUGCACGAAUCCUCACACUCCGAAGCGGUUUCGAAACUCUAUCGAGAAGAAACAAUCCGGAAACAAACAAUCAACACAUGAUAAACACCACAACAUAUGCAUGCCAUGAUGCACAAACAAAAAUGAUGUAUGUCCAUUUAGUUAUGCAAGGCAUGACAAAGUACAACAAUCAACUUCUACACAUUAAGUGAAGCUCAAUAUGCAAUGAGUUGCAUAUUGAUGAAACUCCACAUUUGAAUUACUUAGUUCACUCCCGUUUAGGUACACGACAACGUUAAAUGUUGUUAAACAGGACAAGAGGUGAAGCAUAAAUAAACUAUACUAUCGAGGAAUUUUAAAUGAGGUCGGAAACAACUUAUAGUAUUUCUGAAGCGACCCUAUAAGUUAAUUUCUAAAUUGAUCCAGAUGUGAACUAAACACAUUUUAUAUUUAUUAAGUAGGAAAAUAAAUUGCAGCAUGUGAUUCUACACGUCAUUCCAGUCGAUUUACAUAUAUAGAUCAUUUAAAACGGAGCUAAGGACUAAACGAUAUAACCAACACAAGAUGAAUAUGUCAUGAAUGCAAAAUGUAUGCAAAUGACAACCACAAGCAUGUUAAAUCAAGGAUGCAGCAGGAUAUUAUGAAAUUACAUGAGCUUUACUUAGAGUUUAAGGUUGCAUUAACCACUCGGCAUACUUAGGCAAAUCAAAUUUAAACUCUUCUAUUCGAGGAUCACUCGGAGGACAAUGGAACCACAUCUUCAAGGAAAGUGUCGAUGUCGAUCCCGUGUGCGAUCCGAGUGGCAGCCUCCAUGAAGAUCUCCAUGAAGUCCUCAAACUUGGCGUUUUUCCUAUUGGCGACAUUGAGGUUGUUCAUCUUCUCCUCGUCCACUCCCUUGCAAUGAAUGCAGACAAGUGAGAGGAUGAUGUCAACUCUCGUGUGGUCUACUGACUUCUUGCAAGAUUGCACUCACCUGGCAACCUCCUUCACUUGGUCGAUGAUGGCCUACAAGUCCUUUGAGAAUUCCUCGCCAGGGGAAACUUCUCGAUUGAUCUCCGAGAUAGCUGAACUGAGCCACUUGAAAUGGACGAGCACCUGCUCGAUACGAUCCUCCAAACGGAGAAGGGACGGAGCCGAGCUGUCCCUGAGAAUCCCCCGCAAUGGAUCCAAUUCCCUCUCGAUCUUCUCAGUCUCCUCGUCGAUGUUGAAGCAUAAAUAUGGAAAAUUAAUUGACAAAAUAAAUCAAAUAUCACUCGAAAGUUGCCAAGACAAUGUGAGAAUCACUCGGGUCGGGGACGUACAUUUAAGGUUUUCGCUCAUGUCCCUACCAAAGUCUUCAAUGAACUGCUCCAGUUCAAGCUUCUUGGCUAUGAUAUGCUUAAACUUAGAUUCCCACUCGGCAUAGUGCUUCUUCAGUACAACAAGUUCCUCAGCGGACUUCUUCGCGGCAGUUUCCAAGGUUUACUUUUCUUCCUUCAGUUUUGCGACCGACUUCAACUUGCCGCCGGCCGCCUUGGUCUUAUGAUUGGCUUCCUUCCAAGCGGACGCCAGUUCAUUGUCCCUCUUCUCAAGGGCCUCUUUCAUGGUAACUAAAGAAAUAGAACUCUUCAGCCUCUCAUCAAUUUGAUAAUUUUCGCUACGGACAUCUCGUAAAAUAGCCCCAGUCGGACAGGGAGAGAGAACAAAUACUAAGCUAGUCGGAUGUAAAGUGCUUACCUUCCAGUGAGCGCUUCUCGUGCUCCAGGCGCACGCUUUUGUCUUUCUCGACUUCGAGGCUGAGGCGCACAUUCCACACCUUCUUAUCCAUGGCAUCAUAACGGCUCCCGAGCUCACAUACAUUCUGCGAGCAGAAAACACAAUUAGUCAAAAUUUAGCAAUGGAAACUCUAAGACUACCGCCGACUGCUUCAGUUGAUGACACUCUCGGGGACUACACCCAGUGGGUGUGCUCAGUGCCCUCACUAGAGAGAUGAAGAUAUAUAGAAAAGGUUAUGUACCCUAAGAAUCUAUGUCAAAUCAAAAUAUGAACUAAUACUACUGCUGGCUACUUCAUUCGAUGACAGUCUCGGGGACUACACCCAGCGGGUGCACUCAGCGUGCCCCCACUGGCAUGGAACAUCGAGUGGGUGUGCUCCGUGCAAACCCACUUGCGAAUAAAACAAAAAUACAUACAAAGGAAAAAAAACUCUCGACUGAUAUCAACAUUCACAAGGGUACUUACCCAAAUGUUCUUCCCUAGGGCUUCACUAGCGCUAUAUGCCUCCUUCAGUCGUCCGGUCAUUAGCUCCAACUGGACUGUAAUGCCCAAGAUGUGUUCUUAUCCUUAUUUUGGCAUGAGGGCCUUGACAGGGAUAAAAGCGCAUCUCGUUGUUUUGCAAGAAUGAAUAUCAUUACAAGUACAUGUACUGAAAAGAUGAGAUAUAUGGAAUUGGCUUACAUUCACCACAAGCUACAUCAGAGUCACAACAGUACAAUACAUAAACAUCAUGAAGAAGAGCAGGGUCCGACUACGGACGAAAACAAACGAUAAAAGAACGACGUCCAUCCUUGCUAUCCCAGGCUGACGACCUGGAACCCAUCCUAGAUCGAUGAAGAGAAAGAAGAAGAAACUCCAAAUGGCCAAUCAUCGCGCUCACGUCUUAAUAUCACUUUACCUAUACCUGGAACUGGUGUUGUAGUAAUCUGUGAGCCACAGGGGACUCAGCAAUCUCAUUUCCAAAGGUAUCAAGACUAGCAAGGCUUAAUGAGUGAGGUAUGGUUAAGUGGUGAGGCUGCAACAAGCGAAUAAGCAUUUAUAUGAGGUGGCUAACUUACGUGUACAGAAUAAGAGGGGGGAAGAUCUACGCAUAGCAGACGCGAACUACUGAUGAUCAAAUGAAUGAUCAUGAACACCUACUUACAUCAAACAUAACCCCAUUGUGUCCUCGAUCGGAGAAGGAGCUCAUGAAAGAGACGGUCACGGUUACACACUCAGUUGGCAUAUUUUAUUUAAGCUUACUUCAAAUUAUCUAGAACAAGAUGUUAAACAAAGUUUCUACGUUGCCACAUAACUGCGGGCAUGGCUUUCCGAAAGAUUUAACCCUGCAGGGGUGCUCCAGCUAGUCCAUCAUAAAUUACCACAAGCUGCAUAGAAAGCCUCAGUCACGAAACUCGUGACUUCGUCGGAUUCCUUAGUGGAAAACCUCAACUCUGAGAUUACCCAAAGUAUCACUGGAAUCCCGAUGCACAAGACAUUCGUCAAAGGUAAAACUAAUCCAGCAAGGCCACCCGGUGUGUCGACGAACCCGAUAGGAGCCGCGUAUCUCGUUCUCAGGACACAAUCGUCUAUGCAUAGUGGAUGAUAGCCAAACGCUCGAGUUGCCCCGAGGUGGCACCGCCGACUGCUAGGUAGGUGGACCAACACUCAUGAGGAGCACUGGCCCAGGGGUUGAUUAAAUUUGCUCGGGUUAAUUACUCCCUAUGUGGUUCAUUAGUUAUUAGGCAAAUGUAGUACCAAAGUUGGGCCUUGCUAGACGAGUUUUAUCCCAAAACAAAAAUCAAGGGGGUUCCCAUAACAACCCCGAUCGUGUUAGGAGCGCUCAAAUAUGGAAUAUAACACUGGUAGCCGGAACUAAGGGGCAAAGGUGUAACAAAACACCAGGUUAGAAAGGCCGAGCCUUCCACCUUUUACCAAGUAUAUAGGUGCAUUAAAUUAAUUAGCAAUUAAUAGGGUGAUAUGACAAGGAACCCAUGUUAUCACAUGGAAACAACUGGACCUGUAACUAGCAAUGCUAACAUAUACUUAAGCAAGCCGUAACAUAGCCAAUCAGUGGUUUGCUAGAUUGUGAACAGGUUGAAGGGUUCAUGGCAAUGUUGAGAGGAUGACAUUUAACACGUGGUAGGCAACGAGACAUAGCGAUAGAAACGAAACAACUAGCAUGGCAAUGAUAGUAAUGAUAUCUGGGGAAAUGGUUAUCUUGCCUGAGAUCCCUCUUGGAAGAAGAACAACUCCGUGAAGCCGACGAACCGACGUAGUCGAACGGGUCCUCACAUUCCGACACGCUUGCGGAACUCCAUCGAGACGGGGCAAACCGGCAACAAGCAUCAACACAGAUAUUCACCACGGCAAAUGCACGACAUGACGCACAACCUGAUAUGAUGUAUGAUUAGUUCAAAUAUGCAAGGCAUGCCAUGUCAAUUCACCUCACGCAAACACUACACAUUAAGUGAAGCUCGAUAUGCAACAAGUUGCAUAUCGACGAAACUCCACGUUUAAUUGUUUAGUUCACUCCCGUUUAGGAACACUAUAAUAUUAAAAUGUUGUUAACAUGGCAAGGGGUGAAGCAAAAAUUAAUCUACCUAUCUAGGCAUUUUAAAUAUGGUCGGAAACAACUUAUAGCAUCUCCGAGAUGACCCCAUGCGUUAAAUUCUAAUUCUGUCCAGAUUUGUCCUAAUCACAUUUUAAGUAUGUUAAACAGCGAAACAAAGUGGAGCAUGUGAUUCUACACGUCAUUCUACUCGAUUUACAUAUACAGAUCAUCUCCAACGGAGCUACGGAUCAAAAGUUACGAGUAAAAUGACAUUAGCACGAUACGACACGCAAAACGAUGCAACCAACAAGCUUAACCGUUUUAAUCAUGCAUGAGAGUGGGAAAAUAUUAAUCCACAUAAAAUUCUAGUCAAGUUACAUAUUUAAAUCACUCUGAUCCGACACACGGAUUGAAAACUACGCGCGUUUGAAAACAUGUCAUUUUCCUGAAAAUAAAUAAAUUCGCAGGCUCGAAAGAAAAAAACUACUAUGGGCCGAAUGUGGAACAAGCCUAAGCAGGGCAAAGCGGCAGAUAACUAUAACACGCCGGGUGCAGGGAAUAACCGGGGCUCGGGCUGGCUCACCUUGGGCUCGGCCCAGGGCGACGGAGGGAAGGUAGGUCAAGGCGUGGCCAGAACUGGGCCACGGAGGAGUCGUGCCGUGGCUGAAGCUGGGCCGAACCAAGUCGGUCCACGCGGGCGACCAAGGCAGCCCAGCCGGCCUCGCUGCCAAUCCGAGCUGGAUCGAGGAGAGGUGCUGGCGUCGGUUCCAGCAAGGGCGGCCUUCGGCGCUGGUUCACGACGGCGGGGCUCCGGUCGGCGACAAACGGGCGCCUGCAGUGCUAAAUAGGAAAAGCCCAUUAAUUUUUGCGUCCCCUGCCUGACUCCCUCUGUUGUUUGGGCUGCCACUUCAGUCGGGCCGACUUCCAGCGAGGUCGAUCGAUGGGCUGAGGCCCAGGCGAGUCAUGAAAGAUCAUUUUAGCGAAACUUUUAGUGCUAACGUAUAAUCAAAAUCAUAUUACGAUGGAAUAGAAACAUUAGCCCGAAGGUGAAGGGGCAGAAGCAAUAGCCUUUUUUUAUUAUUACUAGCAAAAAUGUCCGUGCGUUGCAAUGGGUAAAACAAAUCUGUACGGCCACAAUAUCCACCUAUUAACAACAAACGUGAUCGAUCCUAAUCGUCCACGUCGUCUAUAGUAGAAACAGUGACCCAUCUUCAGUUUCGACACUAUGGGCAAUGUUUUGAAUUUGGAUUUUAUUUUUUGUAGCAACAUACAUUGAUGUUGAGUUAAUGCACUAUUUUUUUUGAAUUUUUCCGAACAUUUUACAAUGUGCAACGGGGACCCGGUGCACCAGACACAUCCCCGUAUGUGCUUUUCAUGUAGAAUCAUAAAAGGUAUAGUUCUCCUUGAUCUGGUCUGAAAGAUUCAGUGAUUGAAAAUACUUGAGAUAGACUGAUCUUUUGGUGCUUCAGAUCACAAUUGCUUCACAAAUAAUACCAACUUACAUUUUAUGUGCUUCCCGCCAAGUCAUAUGUUGUACUUGCCCGAUUUAAAAAUAAACAAAAAGUGAGAUAUGCAGGACGCAAACCUUGGUCUUAGGUGCAGAAGUAUGGUACCCUAACAAGUGCGCCACUCCCACGUUCGUUGUAGUUUAACGGCUCGCUUAUUAAUAAACCAAUCACAGUGCAACGGUUUUUGAAAAAGAAAUACGAAUCAUUUUUUCUCACUUAUGGAUGACAUGGUGGGUAAUUUGUGACAACUUCAAUAGCAAUUUCUAUGACAUACGGACAGAAGCUAUCCUUGAUUUUAUUAGUAGGUACAAGGCUCUCUUCAAAUAAACUGAAUGUUGAACCGGGCCUGGUAUGUGUGUGUGUCUCGGUGAUGGAGAGGAUGGUCUCUAGAGCUUGACACCUAGGGUCAUAGGUGUGAAGCUUCUGCUCAAACUGGCCGGGGAACUUGUAUUUGGUAGAAGCAGUGACUAUCUUCUUUUCUGACAUGCAGCUGCCAAUGACUCCAACAACCCUCACAGCGAGCGGAUCAAGUAAAUAUAUUCCCACGUGCCCGAACAAAUGGAUUCGAUGAUACAGUGACCAUUGACCAGGGCUAUAAUCCAGCAGUUUCCAGAUCUCCAAAGUGGCAUCAGGAGAGAUUGUAUUGCGAAGGUCACGGACCAUACACAGCUGGUCAUCCAUGACAACUAGGUGCUCUUUUUAUGACCACAGGUGCACUUGUGACGUCCAGAAGGGCGGUGGUGAUCGGACACAUCUGAGGGUCUCGUCUGUCAAGGAAAAUGUUAAGACGGUAUCUCUUGUCCUUGUGGCGAUAUGGGAAGGAUCGAUGAAUCAGUGUAGUAAUCCAUUGGCAAACAUCGGUGGUACUUUGUCCGUCGUCGCAUGUAUAAUUGCAGAUGUUGCAUACCUGGAGAGCCUAAAAGGUACUCCUCCACCGGCCGCCAGCCUCCAGCAACCAACUCCAGGGGUGUACACUUCACACCUGUUCCUCUCCUUGUCGGAGAAGACCCAGUGAUCAACCUCACCACCUUGUACUCCCUAGUCCGGGCAUCAAAUCCAAGUCUGGCGGUGGAACGAUAUUUUGGUGGAGUACUGUGAGGCGGCAGGCGUGUGAUUGCCCGUGUAGCCGCAUUGCAAACAUAGUAAGCUGGCGCGGCAUCAUCAUAUAGAAGGGUGAGUCCAUGGCAUGGCGAGGGCGUCACUAUUCCCAUGGAAUUGCGGCUUGCGGUGUGAACGGUGGUGAGUAAGUCAUCUCUAGAGCCUGACGGCGAGCAUGAGUACAUUGUGGUGGAGUUCGGUCCUGUGGUGGGGGAGACAAGCGUGAGCAGGGCCGGCCCUAUGUUUCAGAAGACCCUAGGGCAAACUCAACGACAUGGGCCCCUAAGUCCUAAGACUAUAUAUGCGUGCGCGUGCGCUAUAUAAAUUACACACCUUCAUUUACAUAGCAUUAAAAGUAAACUUCCAUCUAUACGUCUAGUUUCACAAUGCAAUACCACGAAAGAAAGACUAAAAAUAUUGCAAAAUAAAACUAACAUGAUUACUUUAACCUGAAAUAAUAACCAAUUCAAGUGACACCAUCAACAACAAUAAUGCUUCUUAGGCAACAUUGAAUUUUCAUAAUGCUUUGUUUUAAAAAUAUGAUGAAAAGAGAGUUCAUGGAAUGAGAAGUUUGUACAUGAAAAUUAUAAUCUUGUAGAUAUAGAUUGAGGAUGAACCAAUAUGCAUUUAUAAAAAACAAAUUCUAGAUGACGCGGAUGAUCAAACGUGAGUGAUUAAGUGACCACCGGCCAGGCCGGCCGCCCAAAGCAGGUGCGCAACACCGUCGGCUCGUAAUUAGCUGCAUACUUUAGUAAUUAAUUGCACGUGAUCGGUACAUGCAAUCGCUACAUGCGCGUGCAUGCAAGCAUGUGUGUGUGUCGCACGAAGGGUGUUACCUGGGGACUGGGGAAUCGAGUGAUUGAUCUACAAGAGCCGUUGUUGCACGCUGGACAAAAAAACAAAUUAUGUCUGCAUAUACCCCGAUCAUGGCCCCCUCCCAAACCGGGACCCUAGGCGGCCGCCUCUCCGGCCAUACGCCAGGACCGGCCCUGAGCGUGAGUAGCUUUGGUGCUGGUCUCAAGGUCUCACCAGCUUGGAGAUCUCCAUGUGGAGGCUCCAGAAAUCCUUGGAGGACAAAAGAGCAGCCCAAGCGCGGUAGAUGGACCAGAAGCGGAGAAUGAAUUUGACAUGGAACCGAAGUAGCACCUCCAACAUCAUUUCAUCAGGAAGCAACAAUGUACAAAAAGAUAGUAGAAGGGCCUUCUUCCUCUUGUUGUUGUUGCUUGGGCACACCCGAUCUGCUAUGAUGGUGGCAGCCUCGCCACUCUUCCUUUUGCUGCUAUCCAUCAUCAUCAGGUCUGUCAUCCAGAUGACAGCUGCGGCCAAUUAACCGGCGAUUGUAAAAUACAGCAAGAUGAUCUGCAUUGAGAUCAACGCACAUGGAUAAGAUAAUCUGGGUGAACCUUAGUAUUGUGAACCUUGAUGCAUACUCUCUGCAUAAAUUUGAAAAGAUUUGGAUCCGAGGUAACCUAAUUUUAUGCUUGAAUAGUGAACUUGCUGCUGUCAGAAGUACUUAUUAGCUGAGAUAAAUAAAGACCAAAACACAUGGCACCUUUGGACAGUCAUAUUUCGAUUUGAAACGAACGGCAAGGUCAACCCAAUUAAUUUCCGACUUUUACUGGCUGCCGUUAGAAGUAGUGGUACUACUACUAAAUUAGUGUGGGUAGUGAAGAGUUGUCAAAAUAAUUAUAGCACAAGGAAAAACGAUCGACGACGUAACGAGAUCUGGUUAGACACCCGCAAAAUAGAAGAACGAGAUCUGGUUAACAGAGAAAAGAAACGACGCAGGAAAAAAACAAAUCCGUGGAGAGGGGCAAGCUAUCGCAUCCUUACCAAAAGCUCGCUCCAACGGAAUCCAUCCGCCUGCGACGAACAGGGGCAGCGAACGCGGAUGGCCGACGAACGCGAACGGCGGCGAACAGCUGAUGGUGGCGCGUACUCCUUACAGCCAGCCGCGCCUGCCUCCGCGAGCGCAGCGCCGAGCCUCCCGCGAGCAUAGCGACUCCUCUAGCCAUUUCCCGCGUCCCUUGGACGCUCCGUGCAGCCGUCGCCUCUCGUCUAUGGAUAAGAAGACGCCGUAGGAAGGGGUGAAUUUGUAAAAGCUAAAUGUUUUUCCCACUAAUUGGAGGACUGCGGGUUGAAUUGUGAUAAACAGAGGAAUUGUUUUGAAAAAACGUCAAGCCACUUUAUUAUUAAGAAGAGAUAAAUAGAUAUAUAUAUAGCUGUAAAAUAAAUACCUGUGUACAAAAUUACACCGAUUCCAAGCGGGCAUCAGCCUUUUGUCGUGACUCUGGCGGGGGAAGCUGGCCUUGUCUUCUUCUUUUCCGGUGGCAGCCAGGGCAGUGAAGGAGGGGUAUCUCUUGGCUCCUAUUUGAGGCGGCUUUGCUCGGUUCUGAUCUACCGCACCAGCCACCAGGGGACUGCCGCUUUUUGGGCUUCUCCAUCUUCAUCUCCUCUUCUUGGUUGGUGUUCUCGAGAGGUAGGCGAGAUUUUUCAUCUAAAUAAUCCCAGCUUGUGGUGGCUGGUUCGUUUAUCUUGAGCUGGUUUCCGCGCUAGCAGCUGCGGGGAUCCUCGGUGGAGAGAAGAAGAUGUCGGGCGCCGCACUGGUCGCGAUUGCGGCUUCCAUCGGCAAUCUGCUGCAGGGGUGGGACAAUGCCACAAUUGCUGGUAUGCUCUAGCCAGAUUUGUUUUACUACUUUGUUAGAUCGCUCCGGUGAAUUUGGGGGUUCUAGUAGUUUUGGGAGCUUCCUUUAGAGUUUAUAGACCAGAUGCUGUUCAGUGCUACUGCUAGUCUUUUUGGAACAAAAGACGGGAGUAAUUUCCCUUGAGCAAACUGCCUUAUUUUUACUUGGACCCUAAAAGCAGCACCGUACCAACGAAGAUAAUAAUAAUUGUCAAGACAAGUUUCGAUUUUGAACACUUCCUUGAUUAUCCCUCAUCUGUAAACUUGCCGUCCUUUACUUUUACUCGAGACACAGAUUAACAGAGCACGCUUUUUGUCUCCAGGUGCUGUCCUGUACAUCAAGAAGGAAUUCCAACUCGAAAAUGAUCCGACCGUGGAGGGGCUCAUCGUGGCCAUGUCGCUCAUCGGCGCAACCAUCAUCACCACGUUCUCCGGACCGGUAUCAGACUGGGUUGGCCGGCGCCCUAUGCUGAUUCUCUCUUCAAUUCUCUACUUCCUCAGCGGCCUAAUCAUGCUAUGGUCACCCAAUGUCUAUGUACUGCUUCUGGCACGCCUUGUCGAUGGCUUCGGUAUCGGCUUGGCUGUCACGCUGGUGCCUUUGUACAUCUCAGAGACGGCUCCCUCGGAGAUCAGGGGACGGCUCAACACGCUUCCACAGUUCAGCGGGUCAGGAGGGAUGUUCUUGUCAUACUGCAUGGUGUUCGGGAUGUCACUCUUGCCAUCACCUGAUUGGAGAAUUAUGCUUGGUGUUCUCUCCGUUCCUUCAUUGUUUUUCUUCGGCUUGACAGUAUUUUACCUGCCAGAAUCUCCGAGAUGGCUUGUCAGCAAGGGCCGAAUGGCAGAGGCCAAGAAGGUGCUGCAAAGAUUACGGGGAAGGGAGGAUGUCUCAGGUCUGUUUUUUUCACUGAAAACCCCAGAUUCAUUUCACCUGGUUUGCUACAGACCCCUUCUUUAAAUUCAUCCCUGAUAGUGGAUUGCAAUUAGUUACUUAAGUGAUAUGCACUAGUGUUAAUUGUUACUAUAUUUGAGUUGCACAAGUCUUUUAACAAAAUAUUUUGUUUUAUUUGUACAAUAUGUUUGUCCUUGAUCAUAAAUGUGACCAAAGAGUAAGAAGUUUUCAUUCUUGUUAAUAUUAAAUCCAUGCUGGUACUUUGCACACCACAUAGCGUCAAAGUAGUAGUAGUAGUAAUUUAGGCAUUUUUGCUCUUUAAUAAAUGACCUUGUUGACAAAGCUCAGAUGAACUGUGGCUAUAUUGGUUGGGUUGGAGCUGUGCUUCCGUACCCCCCCCCCCCUCUUCAAAAGAAGGGUAGUUUGGUCCAUCCACAUGAAAGAAAACAGUUAAGGAAUUAAUCUUCUAAUUGGUGUUGUGAUUAGUUAAGGUGAGUGGCGGAGCUGCCACGACCGUCACCUUGGAUGUGGGCGGGGUAGAUGUAGUACACGUCUGACGUGUCCUCGGGGAGCUCCGGCGCGCGACGGCAACCUCGCAGAGCAGCGUCGAGUGGCCGCAUCGGCGUUGGCGGUCGCUAAAGUACUCCCCACGAAGAACACCUUGCCAUACCGAUGCGCUUCUGGCGAGAACACUGCACAUAGAGCCUAAUCGAUUUCACCGAGACACGCAAGUGUGAGGCAACAUGCUGGCUGAUUGCCCUUUCUAGAGCACUCGUACAUGAUGGCUUGGUGAAUUCUCACUAGUACAUGAUGGCUUGGUGAAUUCUCGCUGGAUGGAAAAACACACGCAGAAGCAACGCGCAUACGAAUCAAUUUUAGUGUAGUCGGCCUUGCGGUGCCGCGCACAUGUUGAUGUUGCUUGGUGAGUGAUUUGGCAGCCCAGACCUUGCGAGGAGGGACGCGCGCCGCGCGGCCGCUGCCGUGGUUAGACGUGACCUCAAGAACAAGAUCACAAAACCGCUCGCGUCGCCUCCAGGGAGGCGACUCGGGCGCCCUAGCCGCCGCCGCCCUUGACCUCCCUCCUCCCCUGCCGCCGCGGGAGGAGGCCGGCAAGCAAAGCUCGCCCGACGGACGGCGGGCCUUCCUCCCUUCUUCACGAGGGGAUCCUCUGGCUGAGAUGCGACGGCGUUCCUGGGCGUACGGCAUGGAGGCGGAGUUGGCGCGCUCGGGCGGCGGCCCGAUGGGAUCCUGGCGGCGCUGCGGGGGCUGCCGGCGGAUCUGGGGUUCACAACCCCAGAUCGGUUCUCCUUCUCGGAUGAUGCUGGAUCUGAACAUGGUGGUGGCGUCAUCCCCUUCGUCAGGGAUGACGGUCAGGUGGUGGGUCCUUGUGACGUUGCCGGUGGCGGCGGAUCUUGGGAUCCCGCUUCCGGGGACGUCGCAGGAUGUGGUGGCCCGUGCAGGAGAGAUGGGUUCUUCGAACAGAUCUGGGUAAAAGCUUGCUUUCGGCUAUUGCCAAAGCCGGCGAUGGCGGCGUUGUCUACGUCGUUUCCUUCCUGAAGGCAUCGCUGAGGAGAAGUUCAAGGCCACUCUUUGCUACCUUCGGGGGAAACCCUAGAUCGGAUGACGGCGAUGCUCUGGUGUCAUUUCCCUCUUGGGGGCGUCAUUCAUGGAGGUACACACGGGCUCGAGGGAUCAUUGGUCGGCAUCAACGAUGGAGCGGCGUUCCUUGUGACACAUCGACGUCGUGGAGUCUCGGCGGCGAGGCGCACCAAAGUCUCGACGACGGAUGCGUGAUGAUGAGCGCGCGUAGGGAGGAGGCGCUGUCUGGCGCCGUGGGGGCAUCGACGGCAGGCCUUGCAAGGUCGAUGCGUCAGUAACUCUUCUGAAGAUGGAUUGAUGGAAAGCGGCGGCGACGACCUAUGAGGGUGCGUUGGACCGGUUUGUGCCCCUGACCCGGUAUGUGGCUCGGUCGGGGCCUCCGGCUUUAGAUGUUAGGCUAGGUGAGAGGUUUGGGUAUGUGGCUCACACUUUCUGCACCCCUUCAUCAUUGGAUAGGAGUAGCGACAGAUAUUGCCAAGAGGGCGGCUUCAGAUAUAUUGAUGUAUUGCUUUGUAAGAUCUUUGUGAAUAAUUAAUAAAAUGGCUGCAUGCAUCUUCCAGAUGCAGAGGCCGGGGGUCAUCCUCGUUUUCUAAAAAAAAGACGUGACCUCAUGAUUUCUUCCCUGAUUCCCACGUGUCCUUAAUUAUCAAGAGGUACGAACCGAUCUCAACCGUUGAUGUGUUUAGGGGGGGUGUACCGAAGCACAAGUGGGUCGGUAAAUGGACACAAGUAUGCAACAUAAGUUAAGAACUUGCAUAAGCUGCUCCUUUGAGUAAGGUAUUCAAGUAUGAUAUGUUUUUAAAGAUAUAAUGUUUGGGUAUCCCUCAAAAAUAAUUUCACAAUUCGGGUUUCAGUAUUUUUAGAAAAGGAGGCCUCGCCCCGGCCUCUGCAUCGAGGGAUGCAUACAUCCAUAUAUUAAGCAAACAUAGUGUUCAAGAAGUACAAAGUAUAUAAAAAAAGGAAAAAAAAAGAAAAGAAAAAGAAAAAAAAAGAUACAUGGCGAACAUCGCGCCUCGGCCUGAAAUGGCUAAAAGAUAAAGAUGACUAAACACCUAUCCUAUUAAUAUGCCGCCAUCCAAACCGGUUGAAGAUACCCUGUGCUACCAUCUUCCAGCGGACACACCCAGUAACCAUAGGCUCCCUGGCUGCCACAGGAGUUAGUAACGACCAUGUACGGAUCAAUGCAGUAAUUCUGUAGAUAACCUGCAGAAAGUGAAUAUCACGAAUUCUGUUAAAAACCAAAUCAUUUCUGCUAUUCCAUAAAGCCCAAAGAAGAGCACAUGCUCCGACACGAAUAGAUUUAGCCAAUUGAACAUCAACUCCCUGUAACCACGUUCCAAAUAACGAGUUCAAGUUAACAGGAGGAGAGAUGUUAAAAGCAAUAUGAAUUGAGCGCCAAACAAGUUUAGCCAUAGGACAGUCGAGAAAGAGGUGCUGAAUUCGGGUUUCAGUAUAGUAUGUUGGAACCUAAGUGUUGGUAAAUUUCACUUGCUGGUUUACGAAUAACGAGUAAAGUUAUAGUUAUCACCUCAAAUCAAAUCUGUGCAGGAGAAAUGGCCCUUCUUGUUGAAGGUUUGGAGGUUGGAGGAGACACCUCCAUUGAGGAGUACAUAAUUGGACCAGCUAAUGACCCAGCUGGUGAUCAUGUUGUUGAUGGCGAUAAUGACCAAAUAACACUAUAUGGGCCUGAAGAGGGCCAAUCAUGGAUUGCUCGACCUUCCAAGGGACCCAGCAUGCUUGGAAGUGUGCUUUCUCUUGCAUCUCGUCAUGGCAGCAUGGUGAACCAGAGUGUGCCCCUUAUGGAUCCUCUAGUCACAUUUUUCGGAAGCGUUCAUGAGAACAUGCCUCAAGCUGGAGGAAGCAUGCAGAGUACAUUGUUUCCUAACUUUGGCAGCAUGCUCAGUGUGGCAGAUCAGCAUCCAAAAACUGAGCACUGGGAUGAGGAGAACGUUCAUAGGGACGAUGAGGAAUACGCAUCUGAUGCUGGAGGUGACUACGAAGAUAAUGUCCACAGCCCGCUGCUGUCGCGACAGACCACAAACACGGAUCGGAAGGAUCAUGGUCACCAUGGAAGCACUUUGGGCAUGAGAAGGAGAAGUCUCUUGGAAGAGGGUGGGGAGGCAGUCAGCAGCACUGGUAUUGGUGGGGGGUGGCAACUCGCAUGGAAAUGGUCAGAGCGACAAGGCGAGGAUGGCAAGAAGGAAGGAGGCUUCAAGAGAAUCUACUUGCACCAAGAGGGGGUGGCCGACUCAAGAAGGGGCUCUGUUGUUUCACUUCCUGGUGGGGGUGAUGCGACCCAAGGGGGCAGUGGGUUCAUACACGCUGCUGCUUUGGUAAGCCACUCGGCUCUUUACUCCAAGGAUCUUAUGGAAGAGCGUAUGGCGGCCGGUCCAGCCAUGACUCACCCAUCGGAGGCAGCUCCCAAAGGUCCAAUCUGGAAAGAUCUGUUUGAACCUGGUGUGAGGCGUGCACUGUUUGUCGGCGUUGGAAUUCAGAUGCUUCAGCAGGUAGAGAUUAUGCUGCUGAUUUCCUUAGUUACUGUAUGUUUGCCAGAUUUGAACAAACAUAUAGUAUGAAACUGGCCAACAAGUACUAAGUCGAUUUUCCUUGUGCAGUUUGCUGGAAUUAAUGGAGUUCUCUACUAUACUCCUCAAAUUCUGGAGCAAGCUGGUGUGGCGGUUCUUCUUUCCAAUCUUGGCCUCAGUUCAGCAUCAGCAUCCAUCUUGAUCAGUUCUCUCACCACCUUACUCAUGCUCCCUAGCAUUGGUGUAGCCAUGAGACUUAUGGAUAUAUCUGGAAGAAGGUAACUAACUGGUUUGCUUUGGUUGAAUCAUCUCAGUACUCAGUAUUAUCCACUUUUUCCGAUUAAACAAGGUCUUAUAGUUUUUCCUUUUCUGCAGGUUUCUGCUACUGGGCACAAUUCCCAUCUUGAUAGCAUCCCUAAUUGUUUUGGUUGUGUCCAAUGUUAUCACCUUGAGUACGGUGCCCCACGCUGUGCUCUCCACAGUUAGCGUCAUUGUCUACUUCUGCUGCUUUGUUAUGGGCUUUGGCCCGAUCCCCAACAUUCUUUGUGCAGAGAUUUUCCCCACCAGAGUCCGAGGUGUCUGCAUCGCUAUUUGCGCUCUCACAUUCUGGAUUUGUGACAUAAUUGUUACCUACAGCCUACCUGUGAUGCUGAAUGCUAUUGGCCUGGCAGGUGUCUUUGGUAUAUAUGCAAUCGUUUGCUGCAUCGCCUUUGUGUUCGUCUACCUAAAGGUCCCAGAGACAAAGGGUAUGCCCCUCGAGGUCAUCACCGAGUUCUUUGCGGUUGGGGCAAAGCAAGCGCAGGCCACCAUUGCCUGAUUUGCCAUGAAGCUUUGCUUUCAGUUUGCACACUGCACUGAAAAUUGCAAAUUGGACGGAUCCUCGUGAGGAACGGAAAAACUU
Molecule: long non-coding RNA, 82902 nt
Filed under: Hordeum vulgare
Lineage: Eukaryota; Viridiplantae; Streptophyta; Magnoliopsida; Poales; Poaceae
Description: long non-coding RNA (HVUL_LNC015622)
Source: RNAcentral